AAUUACAUUUUUCUCCCCCCAUCCCCCAAACUAAUUAGACUUUCAUUUGAGAUUGUGGGAAUAUUACGUUACAUGCGGUGAGAAAAUACGAUUAGAAAAAUACUAUAUUUGUUUCCGUACGUAAUAUUACGUUCUGCAUAUCGAGAUAAGUCAGUUAUGAUAUAUAUUUUGCGAUUCCACCAAAGAAUACAGAAGUAUAUCCCUAUAUAUUUUUACCCUAACUCCAUUUUAUCUAGCCUCAAUCGCCAAACUAAGCUUUAAACGUGUAGAUAUAUAAGGUUAAAUACUUUUGUUUUGUUUCUAAAGGGAAUUAAUACAAAAACUAGUAUUUAUUGUUUGUUGUGAUUUUUUUUUUUUUUGUUGAGAGAGAAAAGUGGUAUACAUCUGCUUCAUUUUUUUUUCAAUAAAUAAUUUAAAUAAAAAUAUAAAAAACUAGAAAAACAGCCAAUAAUCUUUUUCAACACUCGCAUCAUUAAUAAUGCAAUAUGUGGUAAUUAACCCAAGUCACUAGUUACGAUAUCAUGACUUAUGAAUCGCAAGCGCUAUAACCAAUUAUUCCAUCCCCUCGAAUCGACCUAAGUCAACUUAUCUGAAUGUUAAUUAGUUGAUCUACUAUUGGAUAUCUUGCCGUUAAGUCUCUAUUGUGGACCGUAGCUCUACUUAGCUUAUUGGACUCAUCUAACUUGACUUAUUAGUCUCUUGAGUAUAUUAUCAUGAGACAGAAGAUUAGAUCUAUCUUAACUAAUAAUAAAUAACCAAUACUUUUUGUUACCUAAGUUAGGAAUGAUUGGUAUUGUGAUGAAUUUAUAUUAGUUCUCUUUAUACUUAUUUAUUUCAAACAUUACCAAUUUAUUAAUUUCAAGUAUUACCCUACUCAUUAAUUACACAACCAUUUUUUCGAAAUGCACCAGCUAUUUAAUUAAAACUUUUCUAAUCAUGUUAGUAAACUAUUGUAGAAAAUGAGAGGUUAAGUAUCUCUUAAGCUUAAUUAAGUGGGAAGGAGAAAUCAAAUUAUAAGAGUACUAGGCUAUAGUUAUAUAUAUUUUUAGGCCGUUUCUUAAUAGAUAGACCUUUUAGGUACCGUAAUAUAUAUCGAAACCAUUUCUAAUUAAGCUCUUGUCCUUUCAUGAGAUCGUGGAUUUGAUGUUUUUUAUCUUUAACAUUUCUUAGACUUUAUAUAAUUCAUAUAUCUUUUAUAUUUAUCAUAUAUACGAGUGGAGAAAAAUAUAGCAAUGUGUAGAUCCCGAAAAGACAAUAUAUGUAAGGGGGGUUAAUUAGCCUUUGGUGAACAACACCACUCUUCAACCUAACAUAUAUAUCGCCAACAACAUAAUUACCAUUUAUACAAUAACGACUAAAAUCACCACCGAAUAUAUAACAUGUCACCACUUUAUUUUUACCAUCUUAUAUUCAAAAUCAUUAACCUAAGAUAAUAAUAAUUAAUAUCUUUAAUUAUUUAAUUUUUUUUUUUUUGAGGGACAACAUGCCGUGAGGCAAUUUUAUUUAAUUAAUAAGUGGAUACAGACCGAGAAUAUUCAUCAAUAGAAGACCAGAAAGAAAACUUUUUACUUGCGAGUCCCUAAGUGGCUAGGCGAUACGCAACUAUAGCAUAUUUAGAAAAUCUUGAAUUUCAUCCGAAACUGACGUAAUUGAAUCUCUCUGUAAAAGUCCAUAAUUCCAUGAUUCUUAUCCGAGCUUCAGGUGUUAGCGAAUUUGAGUGAUAAUUCCUAGGGUGCAAAGCUUUGAUACUGGAUGCUGAAUCUGAGAAGAUAUGAAAAGUUUCUCCAUGAUACAUUUGCAAAAGAAGCUUUGCCACUCGGAUGAUUGCUCCAAUUUCGGCCGAGCAGGCAUCUGGAUCACCUUUAUUGCGUCAGAUAUACAUGCGAUGGUGCCAUGCUGAUUAGUAAUCAGGCAUCCUACACCACCUUCAGUAUUGCCUUUCCAACUCCCAUCUAUCCACACAUGAAAGGAAGAGAUUAUAGGUUCUUGAAUCAAAGUUGGGUCCUGUAUGUUGAUUCGCGUCAUGUUAUUGUUGGAGUAUAAGGCCGUACAGCGAGUGAGAAAUUCUUCUCCUUAAAGAUCAUCCAUUCCUUUUCUUCUACAAGCUCUAUAACAAAUGAACACACAGAAGGCCUUAUGAGUCUUCAUAACUUUGUUGGUUAGGAUGAAAAAUAUCCAUAACAAUUAAUAUAUUUCUUUAGUUUAAGACUAAUAUAUAUUAAAUUAUUAAAAUUUCAAUUUAAUUAAUUUUUUGAUUUGAUUUGUUAUUUUUAAAAUCAGAUCGAAUUGAAUUAUAUAUAAAACCACAACGAACCGACUGAUUUCGACCGAUUCAAUUUGAUAAUUCAGUUUGAAUCGAAUAAUGGUCACCUUGGUUAAAAAUUUAUUGAGUGGAGCCCAUAUAUAUAUUUUUUUAUCAUGAACUGCGCAAAGCAAAGAUAACUUGCAUUUACACUCCCCAGUCCCAAAACAAGUAAGCACAUUUAACCACUGCAGAAAAAAAACUGAGCUUCAAAAAAAAUAAAAUAAAAAAGUUUUUUUACCACCCUAAAAUGUUUUUACAAACAAUAAUUAAAAAAAAAAAGAGCAUAAAAAAAACCCCCCCAAAAGCAAGUUUUUUUUUAAAAAAAACAUAUCGAAUCACGAGAAAGAACCGUAACCACCACCUUUUACUUUCGUGUUAUUAUUAUUAUUAUUAUUAUUAUUAUUAUUAUUAUUAUUGGUUUUUAACCUCUUUGUCCAUUGACUGAGUGCUUCUAAUCAUAUUCCUAGUGGCCAGCGCUUUUUCCAAAGAGCCCCCUCCUAUUUAAGAGCAUUACCACCCCACCCCCCCCUCGCACACAAUUAAAGCAUGUGAAUUGGAGAGAGUGCUUGCUCCUUAGUCCUCAGACAUGAUGUCUCUGGAAAACUAUUCUCUCCGCCCCCUACAACAACACCACCACUCCUUAGAUUGGGAUCUACACAGCAACAUUAAUGGAGUCGAGUAUUUCCAUGAACUCAUUCCUUUGGGUAUGAUCACAAACUCAAUUACUUCUAUAUAAAGAUUUUCUUUUUUUUUUUUUGAUAUUGUAAGUUUUCGCUGCUCUUUAAUUCCAACAAUACUAUAUACGUACUCUAAGUGUGUAGUUUAGGUGUCAUUUGCUUUGCAUGGUGGGUUUAUGUGAUUGUGUUUGUGUAGAUUGGGAGUCUCCGAUGUCGUCGGAGGCGUCCACCGGGUACCUGCAAGACGCGGUGGCCGAAUGGGAGGACCGGUGCAAGCGGCGGAGAACGACGGCGGCGGUGGCGGUCGCAGCGGCGGUGCCGCAUCGCGAUUGCACUUCGGUUGGGAUGAAUGAAGAGCUCCUGGAUCUUCUUCAAGUAAAUAUUUCCCUGCUUUGAGAUUCAUAAUUUGAAUUUAAAUUGAGGAGGGAGAUUUUUGAAUUUGAUAUACAUUUUCUUUCCUUUUCUAUUUUUCCUUUUUUUGCAGAAUUUUUGGGAUUCUAGCAACCAUGAUGAUCAUCAUCCUUUGGAUGGUUUGAAUUGUGUGAGCCAAGAGAAAUUUGCUGGUACAGGUAAAUUUUUGAAUUAAUUUAGAAUUUUUUUUCCCCUCAUUUUCCUUUUCUUUUUCUUUUUCUUUACUUUUUUUAUUCACUUUUCUACUCUUCAGUAGUUUUGGCUGAUUUUUUAAUUUUUCCUUAUAUAUAUAUAGUAUGGAUUAGUAAUAAGACAACGUAAUUAUUAAUGUUUGAAUUAUAAGAAAUGUGUCUCAUAGCUGUCACAUGUGAGGCCCACCAAUUUAAUUAUAUAUGUACAUAUAAAUAAGGGCCAGGCCAAAACCAAAUUGUCAAUGGUUGAACAUAUAUAGCUAACUAAGCCAUAAUUAGUGCAUAAUUUUAGCAAGUUAAUUAACUAGCUAGCUAGCUAGGAGUCAAACUAUACAUUCUUAAUGUUUUUUAAUUAGUUCUUUAAUUUUCAUUAACAAAUCCAUAUGAAAAGCAGGUGAUUAAAGUAUGCAGUUGUUUUAUUUGCCACAACUUUUGCUUAAAUAUUGUUAAUUAUCAGAUCAUGAUGCUGCAAAUCCCAAGCUUUUAUCAUUGAAGGGCCACACCAUGCAACAAGUGUCAGGGAAAAAGCUCCAAGAAGAGAGAGGAGGAGCUUCACCACCAAAUCCCAAAGAAAAAGAUACCAACUAUGCUUCUGUAGAGUCAAAUUCUACUCAUCCCUCCACACUCAAAUAUUUGGCACCAAGAGGUAAAACAAUAAUUGUUGAUUACUUAUAAUUAAAACACCGUUCUAUGAUAGAAGAAAUAUUGCCUACACUCGGUGCGUGCGUAGCUGAUCUAUGUGGUGCACUAGGGGUAGGCAACUGGAUAAUGACAUUAGAGCAGGAGGUUCUGAAUUUGAAUUUCUUUAUGUUUGUCUCGGCUCUCUCGGCAGGGAGCGAGAGCCAGAGGUGUAAGAAAAAGAAAGGCACGGGGGUGGCGUAUCCGUUCGCGGUGGUGAAGCCCGGCGGGCUGGAGGGGGACGUGACGCUGCACGACAUCAACGAGAGGAUCCUCAUGCGGCCCGCCCGACCCGUCCGGCACCCGGUCGGGGAGUUUGCGCCCGGCCCGUGCGUGUCGGCCCGCGGGCCGGGUUUGUCCGGCAAAGCUGUAGUGAGCCUCACCAGGAUCCAUACAAGAGGGAGGGGCACUAUUACAAUUAUCAGAACAAGAGGAUAAACCUUUUCCCCUUUUUUUCCCCCUUUUUGCAUUGAUAUAUACAUGUAUAUUUAAGAUAUAUAUAUAUAUAUAUAUAUAUAUAUAUAUAUAUAUAUAUAUANAUGUAAAUACUACCUCUUAUAUAUUUCCCUCUUGCAAUAAUAUAUAUUGCUAUUUCAUACGUACACUAUUCUUUCUUUUUAUUUCCUUUACUUUUAUUAAGAAUAUAUCGCGAGAGCCAAAUUUUACACACAUUAAUUAACACUUAAAAGUCUCUCCAAAUAUACGCGCUAAAUUUAUAUUGAAAAAAUAACAAUAAUACCUAAAUUCAUAUGACAAUGCUAAUAAACUAUGAUUCGUAUAGUUAUAAACCAACUAAGAUUUAAGUGGUGGACCUUUUUUGCGAAUUUGCUUAAGAAGGGAAGUUAAUCAAUUAUUUGCAGUACGUAAUUGAUAUUAUUAGCAGAGAAAAAUAAGCCCAUGCAUGUUAUUUGCUUCUAAUAAUCGCUUUUUCCUUGAAAAAUAAAAUCUUAUAUAUAAAUAAUUAAAAAAAAGAUGAAAUGAGUUUUAAAAUAUCAAAGCAGGACUAAAUUGAAAUAAUCUCUUGCUAGCUUUAGAGCAAACUUGAGGCAAUUCAAAUUAAAGGGCUCUGGAUACCAUGAUUUCUUUUUCUCUUUUUUUGCACUAUACUCCCUGUAGGAUAUUACAAUUACAUUGCAAGGAUUACUUUUUCUUUUCUUAGUUUUUUUUUUUUUAUUUGCAUGUUAUUUCAUGAGAAAGAAAAUAAAAAAGCAAAGGAAAUGAGAGAAUGACAACACGAACCCUAUACUGUCAUUGGCUCCAAAGAGGCCGAAAUACUUUGCUGUGUGAUUUGACUAGAAAAUAGAAUCUAGCUAGUCAAAAAAAAAAAAAAAAAAAAAAAAGAACUUUAUUUUUUGGAAAUUAGUGUAAAAUUGCUCGUUGUUUAGCACUUGAAUAAUUAUUAAUUUUCAUCUAAUUUAUGUCAAAAUAUUUAUGAGCUUCUAUUUUGUGUAUAUGUGUUUUAAUCUAUUUAAUGAACCGCACAGAAAAUUAAUCAUCUUAUGUUUUAGAAUCAAAAAUAAUUUUGAAUACCAGUGGAAUGAAUUUUUAAUCCAUUUAAUGAACUGCACUGGAGAUGCACAGACAGAAAAGAAGUGAAAGUUUAACCUUCGUCGUUUAUCAAAUUUCUAAAUUGAGAUAUCAAAUGAUGCUGGUGAAUAACAGGGGAAUAAAUUUUGAAUCUUACGACACAAUAAAAUAAAUAAUAGUUUUUGAAAUUUAUGGGAUUCUAAUCAUUUUUGGUUGGUGUGAUCUUUUCAACUAUGGUCAAAUUAUUAGGAAACAUUAAUAUAUAUAUACACACACACAAGUGAACAUAGGAACCACGCACACUUUAUAAAAGCAUGCUUUAACAAAGAGUGGAUCGAGAUGAUCAUCAGUAGAAGUGGAUUUGACUCAAUUGGAUUUAAAUUAAUAAAUUAGCAAUUCAAAUCCCAACAAAGAACAAUUUGCAUAGCACGUUUUAGUCAGUGCAAGGACAUACUAAUUCCUUUUCUUUUUUUUUCUUUUUUAUUAUAUUAUAUGGUUUUGAGCCAAAUUUUAAAAAAAAAAUAGUUUAUACCUAGUAAAGUUUCGGGUGUACCGUUUCCUUUUAGAUUCUAUGACAAAAAUAAUUGUGUGAGCACCUCAUUAGGGGUAGCCCCAACUCCCAAAGUGUGAAAUAUGUCCCAUGCAUGUUGUCGCACCUGCACAAACUAAUAUAAAAGUAAGGGUUAAUUUUAUAUAACUUUAUGUAAACAUAUCAAAUAGUAAAAAUAUAUAUUUCUAUAAAAUUUAAUAUUUCAUACAAAUAUUUACUAAUAUUUAUAUUUGUCUCUUUGUUUUGUUAUAGUUAGAGUAGUGUUUAUUUUUUAAUAGAAGAUAAGUAAAAUAACAUUUUUGUAAUCACACAAAUAUGUCGCCCCAAAAAUCGCAACUGACGGCCGUUUUUCUUCCUUUCUAACAUCACAAAUAAUAUAAGAGAAAGUAAAAAGGUCAAUUUACCUCAUUUACUAAUCAGGGUUUAAUAUUUUAUCUAUUGUUUACUAUAAUUUUCUAAUGGAUCCUAACAACUGAGAUAUAUUUAAAAACAUUAAGACUUUUGAAAAGAUAAAUAUGAAAAAUUGAACUUUAUAAGGAUAUAUCUGCUAUUUGAUAUGUUUAAAGAGAGUUAUAUAUAAUUAACCCUAAAAAUAAUAUAUAAUAUAUUUUUUAAAAUUUAAAAAUAUUUAAUUUAUUUCUAAAGGACCAAAAUAUUUUUAUUGAUUUUAAUAAUUUUCUUCAAAUAUCCACAUUUUUUUUGCAAGGGCUUACUAAUGGAAUUAAAUUUUAGAAUAAAUUUGAAAAUUUUGAAUAGCAAUAAAAGGAUAAACAAGCAAAAGCUUUGAUUGAUAUAUGGUGUAAAUUUGCUCUUUCCUUUUGAAAAGCCAAAGUACAUUAAAAGUCUAUUUAGUCCAACUGGAGCUUAAUCAGAAGUACUCUCUUUCAAAUUAAUAAUAAUUCUACUUUGGAAAUAUAUAAUUUUUUUUACUAAUUUAAAUGUUGUUUGAUUAAACAGGUUAGGUACUGAUUCAAAUUAUGAGCCAUGAAGAGUUAGGAGCCCAAUAAAAUUGAGAAGAAAAAAAAAAAGGCAAGAUCACUAGAUCAGAUCACACCAACUACACAUGCAAUUAAUCAAUUAGGAAGGAAAUCAAUAGCCACAUAUAUAUAAUAAAUGGUCCAAUCAAGGCAUCAACUUUUUAGGAAGGGAAAAGAGAUGGGGGCCAUCAUCUACCAAAGAAAAUUAAUUGACAUGAACAGGAGAGCACAGCAAACAUUUUGCCUUGCCUGCUGCCCCACAGAUGGGAAUAGAUAUCAAAAGCAGGUUGCUGUCUGCUCUCCCCCAAAGUCAAGCUGGUUUGAACUUACCAGGCAAGGGAUGGGUCCCAGGAUUAAGUGUCAUUAUACAUUUGAUAUUUUGGAUUCGUUAUCCAUGAUUGAAUUGAAUAAGAUAUGAAAAAUAAUAAUAACAAUAAUAAUAAUACUGUAUUUUGUUGGACGGGAGCAAACAGGUCCAACAAUUAACUUGAGUAAAAGUUUAGUGACGUGUCUCGACAAGACUUAGAUACGAGCGGUUAUAUAUAUAUAGCACUCAGCUUUACUUUGAGAUGCGCAACGAGUUUUACCUGACGCAUAUAUCUGAUCGGUCACUGAAUUUUUGUUCAAACUUGAGUAAGAAAUCACUCAAUUCGAAGCUCUAACGAUCGGCUGAAAGUUUAGUGAGAUGUGUCUUAUUGAAACGCUCAAGUUUAUUGGAUAGUAUUCAAUCCUGCUUUGAGAUUUGCACAAAGUGUCAUAAGAUAAUUUUGAUAUGAGUGAGAUAGUUUAUAUUAAGUUUUGUUCCAACAACUUGGAGGAAUCAGAAACCCCAUAAAGCAUAUAUUAGAUCAAACCAAAUUAUCCCAUCACAUGGAACUCCAAGUUGUGGUUGCAAUGCCUAAAAUGCCUUGAAUACUAAAUUUGUCAAAUAACGAAACUUUUUAUUUUUAUGUUUUUAUUUUCUAGACUUUUAAGCAAACUUUUAAUUUUAAAAGGACAUUGAAUAUUUAAUAAUAUUUUAUUUCAGUCCCUAAAAUUGUAAAGUAUUUUAUUUUAGUCCUUGUCAUAAAGUAAACAAUUAUUUCUUGCACCCAGUUUUCUUGUAUAUUUGUACAAUAUAAAUUUAUUGCUUCUUUAUCUCUAUCAUAUACAUACUUUUAAAUUCAAUGAUAGAAUUUGUAAUAGAAUAGAGAUUAUAUCUCGAAUUUGUAGUAAUUCUAUCAUAACUUUAUGGUCUAGCUAGGAUCAUUCUAAACUUAAAAGUUUAAACUACAUGGUUCAAAUUUAGACUUUCAAACUUUGAUAAUUAAUUAGAUCUUCUAUUUUAUAAAAUAGCUCAAUUGGUUGUUUGGUACACAUGAUAUGAGUUUGCAAAUUAAAAAGGAAGAAAUAUAGGGAUUUUUUUUUUUUUUGAGAGAUAGGUAGUACACUACCCGCUUCGUUUAUUUCAUUUAGAAAUAAACUUAGCUGGAAAUGUGAAUCAACUAGGAUUCGAACUUGGAACCUCGAGUACCAAUCACCAAACCCUUUGCCACUUGCUCUAAGGACGGUCGGUGAUAUAUAUGGAGCAUUGCCUAAGAUACACUACCAACAAGGAAGGGAAAUUCAACUCUCUUUUUUACAUUUAUAACCAAUUAUUAACCUAUUCAAUGGUUAAGAUUUGUAAAGACGUUUUUGUCUCCUGUCGAUCCACGAUCCAAAUUGACUUAUUUGCGAAAAAAAUCAAGUACAAGAGUAAAUGUGAUACCGUCCUUGAAAUUAAUGAAUAAAUUCAUUACUCAUUCAAUAAAUAUUAGUUUUGAAAUAAGCGUAUCUCCUAAUUUUUCUAUAAAUUAUUUUUUUAUUUUCUUAAAAUGAGUUAUGAUAAUGUGUAUCUUUUAGCCUCUCUAAAAGUGUCUUUUAGUAUCUUUAUGAAAUUAAUGAGUGAGUUAAUAUCUAGUAAAGUGGAAAGAUCACUAAAGAGCCUGUAAAUGUGUAAUAAUUAAUUUCAUGAUGAAAAAAAUAAAUGAAGUUGACUUGCUUCUUCUAUCUCUUAGAUGGAUUUUUUGUGAGAGAAAAAUGUUGAUCAACUUUCGCGUUGACGGAUUCCGUGUUGUGGUUGCUCGAGUUCGACGUGGUUGCUAGAUUCUACGACGGAUGGAGUGUUUAUCGAGUCGUGUUUGUUCUAUCUCCGGAUUCUCUCUAAGUUCCAACGUCAAAAUGUCUUCUUUUUUUAAUCAUCAUUUUUGUUGAUCCACAUAGCAUAUUUCAAACAAUAUCCAUUAUACUCGUGAACAGAAGUUAUUAACACAAAUUAUUAAUCGAUUAGUACUAUUAGAUAUAGAUUUUUUACAUAACAUUAUUUUUUUUUUCCAUUCUUAGCCUAUCUAGAGAGGCCUUUCAUCAUACUAUCCUCUUCCUACUCUCUUUCUCUCCCAUGUGGCACCAAGAUACUUUAUAAGUGGAUGUUAUUAUCCUCUGGGUACUACCCCUCUCUCUCUCUCUCUCUAUCUCUCUCUCUAGAGAGAGAGAGGUAGGAUGUAAUUGGCAUUGUUUUUUUUAGAGAAUAAUAGCAUGGCAUCAUUUAUUUAAAAAAAAAAAAAAAAAUUUAGCUAAAGAUAUAAAGCAACUAAAAUUUGAACUUGAAAUCUUGAGUAUCACAAUUAGUAAGACAAACUAGUUUAAUAAUGUAGCAGCUAAAAGUACUAGUUUCAUAUUAUAAAAGAUUCAAAAAAUUCAAACAUACUUAUAAUUUUUUCUCCUUCAAUAUAAUUUUUAUAAUAUAAAAAAAUUAAAAAUGCUCCUGAAAUUUUUAAUUAUAAUAUAAAAAUAAUACUUUUAGUCACUAUAUUUAUAUAUCAAGGCUAGAUUAUAGAAAAUUCCUUUAUAAAUAACGUUGCAUUUAGCCCCCUCCCCUAUUCAAGAUUCAUUACUAUUCUGUUAAUUUCUUAUAAUUUAUACCGAAAAUAUCCUUUAAAAUAAUAUAAAUAUAUUAAAUAAUUAUUUUUUUUCCUUAUAUAAGAAAUAAGGAUAAUUUGAUUGUUUUACCUUCUCUAUUAACACUCUAUUUUUCUGAAUGCAAAAUAUAAAUUUUAAAAAAUAAAAAAUAAUAAAAGAAAAUAUUAGAUCUGAUUUUUUUUUGUCGCUUGUGCCGGUAACAGUCGGUGUUUAUGCGAUCGGGCAUUGUUACUGCAUCUGCAAGGGGUGGAGUAGCUAGUAGUACUAAAAAAAGAGUUAUAUCGAGAUGUAGUUUAGGAAAAAUUUGGAAUGCAUCGGAUAUAUUGGUGACCUGGCGUAAUAAAUCAAUCAAAUCUCUCCUUUUAGAGAUAUAUGUCCUAUUAUGAUUAAAAAAAAUAAUUUUAUUAUAUUUUUAUUUGAAAAGAAGAAAUAUAAUUGAGUUGUUAUUAACGACGUGGUGCGAGUAUGACAGUGUAGAAUUCCUUGUAGUUUAGGCCCCAGCAACGAUGCGAUGGUGCUGGUGUGGAAGGGUACUGUCAGUUUGGUGGUGUUUCGCGGAAAAAGCGAUCAUGAUGCGUCCCCCCACGCUGCAUGUGGGGCGCAUGCAACCAACCCAAAUUAUGUCGAUCGUACGUGUUCCCUCUCCUGCGUUACGUACGCGCGCGGGCCCAACCAGCUCACCUAUCUAGCUCAGGCCACCAAUAACAAUAAUAGUAAUAAUCAUCAUCAUCAUCAUCAUCAUCAUCAUCAACAUUCACCAUCAGAUCAGUAAAAACCAUCGUUAGUUUAUAUAUAUUAUUACCAUUUCAAAAAUAUUAAUUUCUUUUAUUUGGAUAUAUAUAUAUAUAUAUAUAUAUAUAUAUAUAUAUAUAUAUNUGUGUAUUUUUAACUAUUGGAUCUACUUUUUGAUUACUAAUAGUCCUUGGAUCAAACACUAUUCUACCUACCACCACCUACGACCACCUACCACCAUCAUCUCAACCUCACAUCUCUCCAUCUAAGGGCUAAAAACACAAAAGUAUCACUUGGGUGAUACUUUUACAAGUAUUCUAGCUCUACUCAUAUAUAUAUAUCAGUACCACGCACGAAUUAUUUGUUAUUCGUAAGCUGGUUGUAGCUAGGUGAGAUCUAGCUAGCUAUGUUCCAAAAUAUAUAUAUAAGUUGAAUGAAACUGCAGUCUAUAAUAAAUCUAAUGACAAGAGAUUCAAUAAUAGACUUAGGGAUUUCAAUAUUUACGAAUACCCGAAAUUUUAUCCGAAUCCGAAUCCGAACGGAACAAAUUUAUUCAAUGCUAAACGGCUAUUGUUUCAAAUAUAGAUAUUAAAAACAAAAACCCGUCGGGUUCGAAUUUUUGAAAAUUCUUCUCGAAUCCGAUCCGUUGAUAUCCCUAAAUAGAUAUAAUUUUCAAAUGAAUUGAAUCAAGUCGAAACUGGUGAGUUUGGCAACAGAGUACUUGCAACAGAGUACUUAAACGUAAUCGGCGCGUUUUUUUUAUUAGCACAUGUUUUCGAAAUUGUUGAUUAGUACCUACUGUACAUUUGUUACUUAUGUUAGGACAGUGGGCAUUAUUACCUUGAUAGUUAAAGCAGCAGAUGUGACGCUUGAUGGACGUGGGUUCACUAUGCAGGUUGCGCCAAAAAAAAAAGGAGGUCUUAAAGAAACUAGGAAAGAUUUCAUAGGAGUAAUUUCACAUGUACUCCUACAGGAGACUAAAAUUUCAUCAAUAAUCCUCUAAAAUUAAAAGUAUAAUAAAUAUUUUUUAAAUUUAAAAAAUACUCAUAAAUGUUCCUAUAGAUAAUGUGCCGUCAAAAUUUAACCGAACAAGUUUUAAAUGUCAUUUCUACCGUGUACGGUUCAUUAAGUAUAGGAAACCGUAAUUGGCAUAUUAACACUAUUCGCUAGCGCCCUCUUAUUCUCUCCACAUAAUAACGAGCCUACUAAGUAGUUGAUAUUUUACAGCAGCCCGCUAAGUAGUUGGUGUUUUACAACACUUCGUAAUCCAACUCCUAAUUAUGAUUGUGGUAAACCGUACUGAAUUUAGAUGUCAAAAUAACCGCAUAGUAAAAAUUGAUGAUUUUAUCGAGGCUCAAAUUAGAAGGUAAAUUGAUAUGAUACUUUAGUGUGCAUAUAAUUAUUAAUUAAAUAUCAAAUAUAUAAUGCAGUAUAUUUUCUACAGGUUGAGAAAUAAAUAUGAUACAACUAUUUUGCUUGCGUAGAUUAUGUUGGCUUAAAUGGGCCAGCAUCCUGCUCUGUGGUGGGAGGUCAUGUUGGGUUGAGUAAUGUUCGACGUGGCGUAAGGCUGGGUGGGCCGAGUCAUAUUCGAAGUGGCGUAAGGCUAAUUUGGUCGAGUCAAAAUUGAGAUCCGUAGGCGCUGUAUCUCUACGCUUUAAGUGAAUUAGUUGUAUCUUUCUGACAGUUCGAGCUUUUGGGAUUAAUGGUUAGCGUCAACGAUUCUACAGAUAAUUUUCAACACAACACAGUUAACCUUAAAUACCAAAUACAGAUGCUGAAAAAAAGCAUAGGCUGAAGAAUUAAAAAGUUGGAGGAGAAAAUCCUAUUGUGUAUUUUAUAUACUGGUUUCUGAAAUUUUUUACCUUAACAUUAAUUAGUCAUUUCCGGCCAAAUAUAUCAUUCUAACUUUUGGGGAAAAAUUUGUCAUUUUAUAUUUUAACUCUCAUUUAACUAUAUUUUAAUCCUGGUAGAGUGACACGUCCUUAACGGCAAGGGUAGUUAUGAUAAUUUUAUGCGUUUAAAAAGAUAUUUAAGAUAUUUUAAAGUUUAAAGGAGUAUUCACGAAAUUUACAAGUUUGAUAAGGUUACUGAUGAAAUUGUCAUUUUUCUUUAUAACAAUAAUUGCAUAUAAUUUAGGGUAAACUUCAAAUAUCAAUUAUAUAGUUUAACACUUUUUUACUUUAGUAUCGUGUAGUUUAAAAGGUAUUACUUUAGUACCCUAUGAUUUUAUUUUUCUCUUUCCGUCAGCACCUCCAUUAACUCUCCGUUAAAUUAUAUACAAAAAAACUUCAUAUACCCCCCCUAUAGUUCAUUGAAUAUUCACUUUAUUAUUCUGUGGUUUACUAAAUAUUUAUUUUAGCACCCUAUGGUCUUAACUUUAUCACUGAUAUAAUAAAAAAAUUAAUAGAAAGAAUAACGGAAAGAAAAUUUUAUUAAAUUUAUUAAAAUUAAUAAUAAAAUAAAUAUAAAAACUCAAAUAAAAAAAAAUAGAGGUUAAAAGGGUGUUGAUGGGCCAAUAUCAAAAUCGUCCAUAGUUGAGGGGGUCUCCAUACAUUUUACCUAUUGAAAUUAGACUAUUUUAGUUAUUUUAGCUAAAAAGUUGUGUUAAAUUUAACAAAUUUUUUUUAAUACUAAAUCUCUUAACUUUAAAAAACUAAAAGUUAAAGGAUCUUAAUAAAAAACUGCAUAGUUAAAGAAAUUAUUUCGAACUAGCAUAUAGUUGAGAAAUCUCCGGUACAUUUCUCAAAUAGUAUCAAGCAAUUAGAGGUAAAUUCAUCAUUUCAUUACUUAACCCCUAAUUAAUCAGGAUAAACUAACGGUAUUUUAAUUAUAAGGAUAUUUAUGAUAAUUUUUUAUAUUUUAAGGAAUAUGUAUUAACUUUUGUAGGAAUAUCUACGAAAUUUAUAAAUUUUAGAAUGGUAGGGAUGAAAUUGCCCAAGAAACUAUUAGUUCGCUAGUUGAGGCUGCCGACACCAUCUUUUCUUCUACAGUGCAGUUAAAAACAAAAACAAAAACAAAAACAAAAACAAAGGAAAAAAGAAAUCCAAGAUUACAAAAUUAAACAUUAAUUUCCUUGUGGUGGCAAAAUUUUGGGAACGAAUUAUUUAAAGAAUUUAAUCGAAGACACAACACUUUUUUUUUCUUUUUUUUCUUUUUUUUUUUUUUUUACACCUAAAAACAGAUACUGAAGCUUUUAUUUUGGCGCAUAUUGAAGCUAUGUGGCAUGCGAGACUGAAAAUACAAUUUAGUUAUUAAAAAUAAAAAUUAAUUUAAUCCUAAAUAGAUUGGAUUUAUCGACUAUGGUCGAAUUCACUUAAUAAGUCUGAUAAAAUAAUACUUUUAUUAAAAAAGAUUAGAUUUAAACCUGGUCAAAUUCAUUCAGUGAAUAAUAAUCGGAUUGAAACCUACAUUUCAAUAUCAAAAUCAAAAUUAGUUCCGAUUUGCAAAUAUUUGAACUCUGUCCCCUCGGCAGUGCCCAACCUUUACGGGCUAACGUAGAGUUUAAUUUGAUUGUGUGAAUAUAUAUAUAUACACCUAAACUAUGUAGUUUAAAAGGAGAAAAAAAAAGAAAUGAUUUGAUUGUGUGAAUAUAUAUAUAUAUACACACACGUAAACUAUGUAGUUUAAAAGAAAAAAAAAAAGAAAUAGUUGGUGGGUGGGAACAGUUUUCUGAGGUGUAAAUUAUGCACUCUAUCUAUUAUAUAAAUAAAAAUUUUUUUAAUAAUCACAUUGAGAUGACUAGUAAAAAACACUUUACUCAUAAAAUGAGGAGUAAUGUUAUCGAUACAUUCCCAAAUGGAGUGUAUAUUUUACAUUCUCUUCAUCCAAAAGCUAUUUUUUUUACUUCUCGCAUCAACUUCUUUCAACUAAAAAUCAUUUCAGUUUUUGUGAAUUUUAGGAUACGGGUGUAAGAUUUGCAUUCCCUUUCGAGUGUACAAGUAAAAUUUUUCUAAAAUGGGCGGAGUACAAAAUAGGUUUUUUUUUUUCUGUAUGAUAGUUUUUUUUUUUUUUUAAAGAAUGUUGUUUAAGCAUAAAAUUACUAUCAUUAUCCUUAAUUAAUUCUUUUGCUUAAUAUAUCUUAUCUUUUAUUAAUAUAACUACCACAAAAGAGAGUUAUUAUUUUCUAUAGAGCAAUGCUAUCCACACACUCAAAUAUGACUGCAAAUUAAUCUUUCACCCUUGGCAUCCAAGAGCUCAUUUAAUCAAGCUAGUCCCAGAGGUAUCUAGAUUCUUGAAUGAGUUGAGCUCUUAAAAUUUAUAUUCUAUUUUUCAAAAUGUGUACAAGGAGCAUGGAGUGAAUGAUUAACUAAGCAGUACAACUCACAUAGCAGUUAAAAAGCAAAAAGGAAAGAAAAAUUAUAUAUACAUAUAUAUAUAUAUAUAUAUAUAUAUAUAUAUAUAUAUAUAUAUAUAUAUAUAUAUAUAUAGUACACUAAAACAGAGCACAAAGGAGAGGGGCUAUGUCUGUGUUAUAGACCAGCAUGGGAAUAAGAGAGAAGCUAUUGUGGAAGUCACCUUCUUCCCCCAUUUAUGCUUGGGGAGAUUCCUUCCUUCUCUUCUCACCCCAAUUAUUAUUAUUUUUUAAAUAAAAUAUUAUAUAAAAUUUAAUAGUAUAUUUAAUAAAUAAGAAGUAUGAUUAAAUAUGUAAUAAAAUAGAGUUAGUUUGUUAUGCUUUUGCAAGCACUAAUUUUCAACUUUUAGGUCCUUGGAUUCAUACUAUUACCACCAGCUACUUUUAAACCACUAAUAGAUCUAAGGUUUAAAAGUUAGAAGAAUAGGACUGACGGUCCCUAAUACAAGUGAUAAAAAACUUGAUGGUUAGUAUCCGAGGUUUCAAGUUCGAAUCCUAAUUGAUUCAUAUUUCCAGCUAAAUUUAUUUUUAAAUAAAAUAAAUGAAACCGAUACCAUGCUACCUAUCUCUCAAAAAAAUAAAUAAAUUUUCGGAUAAAUUAGAAUUUAGUUGUAAAGUUUUUUUAAUUCUAAAAAAUAAAAUAUUUUAAUGAGCAAAAAAUCAGACUCUUGAUUUUCAAUUACAACAAACAAUAUUCAUAUUGUAGAAAUUGUUAGAAUAACUUAUUUUAACAUUCCAACGGACUAAAUGCUUUUACGCGAGAGAAAAAAAACAUGCUAUCGGUUUCACUUAUUUUUUAAAAAAAUAAAUUUAGCUGAAAAUAUGAAACAAUUAAGUUUCAAACUUUAAAUUUUAGGUAUUAAUUACAAAACCUUUCGCCACUUGCGUCAGUGACAGUCAAUGAGUGAUGAAAUUGUUAUUAUGCAUAUAUCAUAUUCGAAUAAUUUCGUAAAAUACAAUCAGAGUAGUGAUAAAAUACAAUAAACCUCCCAUUCAUAUGUUGCCAUUAUAACUUUUUAUAAAAUUACUGCCGUAUUAACUAUAGCGUUUUAGUACACGCACCUCCAAUUACACCCUACAAUGCUACUAGCAAUGUACCGUGCUUUGCAAUGAGUGCGAAUUUUAAUUUUAUAAUUAUUAUAUUAUACAUUAUAUAAAGUCACUUAAUAGAAUCAAAUAAAAAUACUAAAUUUUAUACAUAUCUUUUAUUUGAAAAGAGAAAAGAACAUUAAAUAAAAAUUAAAAUCAGAGAGAGCACUUUCAAAUUUCACCCAUAAUGUAAAAAAAAUAAAAAUUAAAAAUUUUUAAAAAUGUAUAAUUAUUAAAUUCAAAUAUAAAUCUUUCCAAAUACUUGAAACAGGAUCUCCUUGGGAAAAACAUUGUGAUUUUCUGUUUUAGGGUUGUUUUCCAUUUUGUUUUUCUGAGAAAUCAUUGGAGAGGUAUAUUUACAAGAAGAACCUAACAAGAGAAAAACAACAAUAGUGUAGGUUCCCAGAUAGGCCUGGAUUAAAGCCAAGCCACCCCUUUGCCCAAUAAUGGACAAAAGCAAAAAUGGAAGAAAAUGGGUGGUCCUUGCACAAAAGAAUUAAAAUAGUACAAGCCUUCAUGUACAAGAAAUAAAAUUUAGAAAUCAUUGGUUGAAUAUAAAUAAUAAAUACAGUAAACCUAGACAUACAUAUAACUAAGUAUACAACAGUUAUAACUACAAAAAAAAAAAAUACUUGUUUGCUUUUGUACAAAUACAACCUAAGUAGUAAUUACAUUUCGCCCGUUAGGUAAUAUAAAGCAGGUAAUAUAAAGCUGAUAGUUCUAUUUAUGAAUUUUAUCACUUUUCCAAAUAGAAUUAGGGGAUUAGCCCCAUUAUAUGUAAAAUAAUCAUAUGAUUUUAAUAAUCAUUUAAAAUUUCUAUCUACAAAUAAAUAAGUGGGUAUGUAUAAUAUUUUUAUAUUUGUCAAUAAUUUUUCAUCAUAUAAAUCUGUCAAUUUAAAAUGCUCAAUCUAUUUAACCUUAAGGAAUAAGCCACACUUAAAAAUCAACUAUAUUCUUUCUUUUUUUUAUCCAAUUGAAUAAUUAUAAGUAAUUAAAAUUUAUUUAGUUAACAUACACAAUCAAAUUCUAUAAAAAUUUAUAAACAAGGCCAUUUUUAAUAUUUUUAAAUAAAACUAUUUCUCAAAAACUUUAUUUUUUUACACAAAGCUUACUCAAACUUUUAUUAGCAUUUAUUUAUUUACAAAUAUUUUUAUUUAUUUAUCUCUAUAUACAAGUAUUUUUUUUUUAAUUUUUUUAUUCAUUUCUGUUAAUUAGUGAGUGAUUUGACCUUUCACCAACUACAGCAGUUGGAACUACAAGCAAUUUGAAUGCAGUUCUAAAUGCAACAUCUAGACUUUCUUAUGCAACUGUAACUACAUCAGUUGAACUCAAUUACACCAAAACCAAAUAUAAAAUUUAAAUCUGCAUGUAUUUGUAACUAUAUUGUAAUUACAAAUGCAUACAACCAGACAGUCUCUCGAUGACAAGCACCGAACAUGCUUAAUGCAAUCGUUUAAGGACUCAAUGGUUAACACUAGAGGUCCCAAAGUUUGAAGCCUAAUUGGUUUAUAUUUCUAGCUCAAUUUAUUUUUUCAAAAAAACUCUCAAAAGCAAGAAGAAGAAAUUUAAUGAAAGGCUUUAAAAAGGCUAUGAGGCUAAUAUCAAUUAUAUAGAAAAAAAAAAAAAAAAAACAAAUAAGACACAACAAUGGCAUAUCGUAGUAAACAUUUCAAGCAAAACUAUGCACAUCACAUAAUGAGGAAAAAUAAAUUCUGCAAACCUCGUAGGGAGCUCGCUGGGCCUUCUAUUAGAAGUGUUUGUUAGAAUAAUGCUGCGAGAAGAAACACAAACAAUUCAAGAAACUUCAAGUUGCGCCGCCGUUGAUUGCACCGGUUGGUCUCCUAACUUAAACAUGAGUUUUCACUUGAAUCCUGAACCCCACAAUUUUUGCAAUUCGAUCACUGAUGUGUUGUUUCAAUCUGAGUCGUCUGCAAAAGUUAGGAUUGGGAACCCAAUUAACAGCUGCACAGGAAUGGCCAAAUUUAACCCUUUAGCACCACUUGCAUUUUGCGAUCCAAUACCUCACCACAGAUAAAAUCACAAUCGCAACCAAGAUACAACCGGCUCUGACCAUUCAGAAAUUUUCUGCAGAAAGAGAACUGAUACAGGGGUGCCGACAUCUUCGCUUAUUGCACAAAGCAUGUUACAGAAAAUUUUAUAGUACAGAUACAUGCGUAUGAAAUAUUUCUCAUGCCUCAGUCUCAUCCUGGAGGAGGAUUUCGUAUAUAUCUGUGCGGAUGUUCAAUUCUUUGUCUCGCAUGACUUCCUGAAGAUCUGAUAGCUCCUUUAGUGUCAAAAUUGAACUCAGUUUCUGGAAUCCGUCGAGCCAUAACCUUUUAGACCUACAAACGAAUAUGAAGUAUGAAAUACAUAGCGGCUGUACAAAUAUGCAUUACUAAAGAAAUUAAGAUUGACAAUUGCAGAAUAUAAAGUGAUGAACAAUUUGGCAUUUUCUAAAAGAAUACCAUGGACAUGCGUGAAUAGCUCUGAAAAAGACUCGUCUCGCAGCAGAAGGAUUGCGGACGAUGUCGGCCUCGUAUGCAAGGUAGCAGCGCCACAACAGCACCGACUUCUGCAACUUAUUGUUUGCUAGAGCUCUCUCAAACAACCCAUGAAUCCUACUGCUAGAUCCAGGCUUAUCCCAUUCAAACGACAAUGCAAAAAGCCAGGCAAUCACAGAUGGAUUCCUAGAAAACAUGAAGAAAGGUCGUUACAGUUUGAGUGUUUUCGAUUAUGAUACAUGCAAAAAGAAAUGUAUAAUUAUAUUAAAUAAUGGAGAACUUUUGACAGUGCGUGCUAACUUGUGGAGACAUGAUUAGAUUUGAUCACAAUCAAAUAGAAUUUCUCACUGUUUGACUUAAUCCUAGAGAAAGAGCUGCUGCUUAAAUUUUUUUUUUUUUUUUUUUAAAAAAAAAGCUAGUUGUACGCAAAAAAAGGGGUGCACACCUUACACCCCCAAUCCUAGAGUUUAAAAAUCCAUGGCUUUUAAAAAAUAUGACAAGACAAGUGUGGAAUAUUGGCCCUUUGACGAAAGGGCGUAAAAUUUACAUCCACUUUUUGGGAGUACAGGUAGCAUUGCCCUUAAGUCAAUUUCUUAGAAUAUCAACUGGAAUGCCAACGAGUGUAGAGUUCAGCCAUUGACCUGACAAUUAACAUAUCUAAUCUGGUUAAUUUCACGCAACAUAUCCACUGAAGUUAAAUUAAGCAAGAUUUCCAUGGCAUUAUUAUUAGAAGACAGCAUAUAAGACCAUCGUUUUAGGUUUUAACUUUUCUAAAAGUGAAGCAAAACCUUUCGUUAAACAAUUUAAUUCAAGUUACUGGGUGUUAUCAGCUAGUUCAAGAAGCAGAAAUAGGAGGAGACAAAGAAACUUAUUAGCAAAGAAACAAGAUGAGUGAAUACAAUGGAAUUGACAACAACAUACACAGUAUCAAAAUUCAAACAAAAAGAACUCAAAAGGAAAUGUGACAGCAAAGAGUGGAAUUUCUACUUAUCCCAAAGGAAUUAUAGGGAGUAUAAUAAGAAUUAAUGCUUAGCUAAAGGUGCAUAUAGGCAAGGUCAUUCAAGAAAAGAAAGAUCACCUCUCUAUACAUUUGUCUAGUAGAAGUCGCACUUUGUUGGAAACCAUAUAGCGACAGCUUAGUCCUAACAUGGCUGCAUAUGUUUUUGAAUUGUUAGGAUAUAUUUGCAGCCCUUCUGUUAUGCUUCCCCGCACCUUUGAGAACUUCAAUUGCUUGCUAUGUUUCUGAAGCAGUCCAACAUAAUAGAUCCACAAAGUUUCAAGUUCCAAGCUGGAGCUUCUCCUUCCUGAGGAAAUGAAUCUUACUCAGCAGAGAAAUGAGAGGCAUGUGAUGAUACAACGGAACUCUAUAAAGGAAAAGUAACGGCCACAGACCAUAUUAUAUGCCAAGUAGUCAAACUGAAUGGGCACAUGAUAACAAGCAAGGAAAUAUAUAUGUAGAAUAAGUAACAAUAUAAAUUAUAUAAAUUGUGCUCACUGGCAAUAUUUAACUUUCUGAAUCCAAGCUAAUUAGUCAUUCAUAAGUAGAGAUUUAUCCACUUGCAUUGGUGGAGAAUCUGACUUGAUUUAAUACAAUUUGAUAUAGUUCAAGCUCCAAUUGACCACAUUGAGUUAAUUCCAGAUUGAGCUGGGUUGAUUCUACUUUAACUAUAACCAUUUUUGGACCUACCAACAAAGUAUGAGCUCACAGUAUUAAAAGCAAUAAUCGAAAGAAUAAACCAAUUUAUCACUUAUCUUCUGCUACUCUGCUAGAUGCUUCAGUGCUGCAGGGCACACACCCAUGUGGAUUAGUUAAUGUUUCCAGAUUAUCCAGAUUGUCUCUUAGAGCUAAACAGUACAGGUAGACAUGACAUGCAUGAUUGUUAUGAUGCAGAAGUCAGUACUAGUACAGAAGUAGCUUAACCAAAGCUAACUGUUUUCUACUCAUGCUUUGGAUCGUGUUAUAGAAGCUGGUCUAUUGCAGAGAUGGAGCUGGCUGCUAAUCCCCUCAGAUCGACCAGAAUUGCUCUCAAGUAUGAGUGAAGACAAUAUGCGUUCCUGAUCAUAGAUCUGAGUCAUUUGACACCAACAAGGGAACAAAUAAUUCACUUAAAGGACAUGUGGUUCUCCACGAAGUGCAAGAAAUUCAAUGGCUAUAAUAUUUUUUCUAUUAUAAAUUGUGAUCUAAUAUUUUAAACAUAAAGUUUGGGCCAACAGAACUUGCUAACCACUCUCAAUCACCCUUCAUAAUAGCACUCAUUAAAUGAUGAUCUUGCAUAAUUAUGCAAUGAACUAUAUUUACUUAUACAACAUAGACACUAAAAGGCCGACAAUUAAUUAAACAAUGAAAAGAAAUAAACAUGACUGACCUGAAAGUGUCGCUGAAAAGGUUUCUUCAAUAACUUCAAGACCAGCAGACCAGCCGGAUGUCAAGGUCUCAAAUAAAGAAGCAGAACAGACGAGAGCAACAGAACCUUUUGUUAUGGAACCACGUGCCCAUAAGUAUCUUAAGCUUUUAAUCUGUUCUCUAAAUCCUUGACGUGCUCUCAAGACCUGGGGACCAGAAAUUGGAUUUUUAAAGGGGGUGUACUUAAGUUUGCUUCCUAAGCAUGACAGUAUGUAGACGGCUCGCUGCAAGGACGACUCAGCUAUGUUGCAGCUCGAAGUAGAUGUCUCCAACUCCAUUUCAGCAUACCAUAAAUAAAGAAGAGGAACAUUUUCCUGAAGGUCCUGGCCCACCAUUUCGAACAAAGAAAUAUCAAACAUCUAAAUAAUUAAAACAAGUAGAGUAUAUUAGGAAGAAAAUAACAAGCUAGAAUAAAACCAUCUUUUGAGUCAACAUUAAAUAUGAGAAUUAACUCUUGAGAAAGGAAGUGGAAAGAAGAAAGAACCAUUCUGUCUAAUCCACAUUUAUUUAUUUAAAAAAAAAAAAAUGGAAAGUGUUAUAUGAGUAGGCUACUAAGAGAAGCACUACACUAAAAAAAGCUCCAAACUGGAUCUUUUGCUUCUGGAGCUCAGGAUCCAAUUUAUGCGUCCUGCCACAGUAAAAGCUGUGGACUUUUUUUUUUUUUUAUAUAGUGGAAAUUGCUGAGCUGAACACAGAAGCAGAAGCUGGGCCAAGCAGGCACCAUGUAAGUACUAUGGCAAAGUCUAACCCUUGUUCAGGGUCAAUAUAUCUGUAAACAAAUAAAGUGAAGUUCGAAACUGAAACAGAGAAGGCGAAUUGCCAUCACUAACAACAGAGAGGCAACAAAUGUCAUAUUCUGAACACCAAAAACGAUAGGCUUUUUUUUAUGAUAUGGAGAAUAUUGCAAUCAGCAAAACUGGGAACAUUGUAUUUGUGGGACAGAUAUCAGUUGAAUCGAAAGAAAAAAAUUACUUCAAUAUGACAAGAUUAAGACUCUUACCUGUGCAACUCCAUCAACAGAUAACAAUGCCAUAUCCAAUAUCUUCCUUCCAAGAUCAAUAUUUCCAUGGCUGGCCUCUCUUCGUGCAUAUAUACCGCAAAGUAACAAAUCCUUUUGAAUAACAUGUGACACAAAUGUCAGUGAUUAUCAUAGAAUUAUGAACUUGAAAUUGACAGUGACACUCCAUUAUAUGAUUGGCACAAACAGAACCAGCAAUUUCUAAAAGUUCAACUUCGGCAAAUAUGAAGCCUGAGGAAUGAUAUAUCCAUUCAAAAUUCUACAGGGCAUAAAAGCCUCAAAAUUCACAAAAGACUUGUUGUUGUCAUUUGUACCCACAAAAGAAUAAAAUACAAUAAAAUAAUUAGAAAUAAAAAUCAUUGCACAAGUAAACUAUGCAAUUACAAACAUAUCAAGUACCUGUCGAUCUUUUUUCAGUAGGUUUUUGGCCAAAGCUCGUGAGGCAUUGGCUGAAGAAGAUGACAAAUUCCUUUUAGCUGAAAGUAUCUCUUCAGUUACAAGUAGAGCUUCUUCUAAUAUAUCAUUACGAGGAAAGACAUCAAGCGAAAGCAAUAUUGCAUUCCGCAGAAAUUUCAUCAUUGCAGUGCUUGUUGAAGAAUCACUUUUGCUGCCCAUCAGGGAUUCCAAGCUAAGAUGAUCUGAAGAAGCUUGAAUCUUGUUUACUAGUUCCCAGACACCUCUCAGAUCUUUCAAAAUAUCAUCUGGCACAGUCUCCAAGCUUAGAAUCCGGUCAAGCCAACUCGAUUUGUUCGUAGACGUCCUGAAGGUUAGAAGUCAAAGCAAAAACUGAGCAUACGGAAACACCAGAACACCGAGAAACUCAUGUAUAACUUUUAAUGUUAUUGCUUCUAUAAAGUACAAACAUUAAGAGAUAUGGUGAUAAUAUUCUAAACUAAAUUACACGUAAGAGCUGAUCUGUCCAUCUCUUCACCGUAAGCAAUGUAUUUGACACGGUUAUUCCCAGCAAAUUACACCUAACGGGCUAACAAUUUUAGAAAAUUGAAAUAUAUGUCCAAUUGAAAAAAUAAUAAAAAAAUAAACGCCAUUGAUAUUUGAACAUCACUAGUUACUUUAUUAUCACACAAGAACAAACAAAGCAGUGAAAUCUAUCAAACAGAAGAAAACUGAGAUUACCAUUGAGAAAUUUUACCACCAUAGAAGUCAACAAAUUGGCACAGCAAGGACAAACGAGCCUCCUCUGAUGACAAAGAGAACAAGUAGUCACUGACAUCGUCAAACAAGAUCACCCUUGAAAGCUGUUCAUCACCAUCCUGCGCUGGGUUGUCAGGAUGAGCAGAUUCUGAUUUUCAAAGGCCAGCGUCAUCAUCCAAAGAUGAAAAGUCAAAUGAAAAUGAAGAUUAACAAGCAAAAAGAAGUUAUCAAUAAGAUCAGGAUAAAUAUAUCAGCAAAUGAUCCAAAAGGCAACAUCAAAGAAAAAGCUAGAGAGUCACAAGUACCAGAACUUUCAUAAACAGGCAUCCACUGCUCAUUGUCCCUUGAUAAUUCCUCAAGGGACCAUUUUUUCCAUGUAUUGACAUCUUUAACCUCGCUAUUAGACUCGGCAUCUAUAUCAAUUCCUAGUUUUUUUAACAACGAUUCAACAUCUUCUUGCAAUGGAGCAUCUUCAGUAUCAGGGUGCUCUUCCUCAUUUCCAUCAGCUAGGGUAGGCCCUAUUAAAUUAUCUAGCUCUUCAUUCAUUUCACUUUUCAUCGAUAAAGGGUCAAACCAACCACUCCAGCCUCCUACUUCAGCCUCUUGCGAACUUUCCGGCAUAAUCACAUUCUUCCUGUUCUCCUCAUCUUUUGCUAACCAUUUAGACCACCCAGCUGCACCCUCUUCUCCAAUCCUUGCACCACCACUAUUCCAGAAGUGCUCAAAGAGCCUUUUCUUACUAUAUGGUGUGAGAAGUAAGGUUGGGCACAACAAGCUAUACUCUAUUUGAGCUUGAAACAACCCAGUUGUUAAUUCCCGGUAACCUGUCUGCCACUCGAAUCUGCAUAGACUCACAAAGAUAUCCACCAAACCAAGUUCUAGCUGAACUAAGGAAGAAUUCGAUGAAUGGACAUCAGCAAUUUGACAAUCCUGCAUAUAGAUUGAAUUGAUUAACAGAAAAAAGAACCUGACAUCUCGAAAAUAAAAAAAUGCAACAAGAGAACAAGUAAAUGAAGACCUAAAAGUAGAAACAAAUUAACUAUGGAAUCAAAUUCAAGAAGCUCAAUCAGUAAUAUGUACAAAUAAAAUCUCCUUGUAAGUUUGCUUUCGAAUUCUUUCACAUCCGGAUGAGUAGAUAUAUAAAAGGAAAUUGUUAAAUGUUAUAUUUGAUAUAUUGAUACAAAUAAAAUGCAAGGCACUAAACUAGACAUCCAGUAACCCUUUAAGUGAUUAAUAUCAAGAACAAAUACACGAUAAUUAUUCAUGCAUUGAUGGAAAACUAAAAAAGAAGUAGAAACCCAGCGUACAUGUUUUUUAGUAGUAGAAAACAUGUGAAGAAGUGACUAUCAAAUAAGACGAAACGGACAAUAUAAAAGUGAAUAAUAGGGUCAAUAUCUGUAAGAAUAGAUAGAGAAAAAAAAAAAGGAACCUGCCUACAAAGCUUGUCGCAAGACGAAGAUAAAGCUUGAAUGGCAUGAGAAUAACUUUUCCUUAUUUCAGAGACCUUAAACCGAGAGAACUCGCUUUGGCAGAAAAGCAAAUACUCUUUCCAUAAUCUACAACUAUCCAAAUGCUGCAUCAGUAUUUUUUCCCAUUUGCCCAAGAUAUUACCACCAGUGUCCCUGUCAUGAUAAGAUCUCAAAAGACAAAGCAUCAGUUCUUCACUAUCCGGAUUGAGCUCCACAGCCUUCUCAAGUAUGCUAAUCUUCUUCUCAAUUGUCUGCAGGCGAGCAGCUUUUUGUGGCUGAGUACUCGCAAUUUUAUCCUGAAAUUUGUAAAUAGUAGUUUUGAAAAAGUUAAGUUUUACCUGAAUGAAAGGCCUACGAAUAGCAAAUAGACUGUUAGAGAGAUUGCUACAUGUGAUACCCAAGGAUUGCCUGUACCACCCAUGUCAUACUGUACCAAGGCCCUACCUGCACGUGGCACAGGAUCGUGUCGAUAUUGUAUCUACAAAAUGUUUUUUUUUUUUUUUUUUGCAUUUUUUGAGAUCCUUUUGAGUUUGAUGUAAAAGUUUUACAAUAGUUUUUUCAUACUUAAAAUAUACAGAUCUUGUAAAUCUACUAACAUUUUGAGGAAUUAGUAAGUUCCAUUGCAUACUAUAACCAACUUUUAGUGAAAAAAUACAAAUAAAAAGAUUUUCUUCAAUUUCUUUUAUCAUUUUAUAUCUAGUGAAUUUACCUAUGGAAGUGUUUUCCUAUAAAUUUUCAUCCAAUUAUGACUUUGGUUUUGGUUUCAUGCGUAUACUUUCGUAACAUAUAUAAAAUGAUUUUUUGCAGUUUUUAAGAUAUUUAUUACUUUAUUCUUACUAAAUUGUGGAAGAUAUAAUACAUAAAAUAUUUUUAUAUCCAUUAGAGAUAUUAAAACAAAAAACUAGGUUUUCUUAAAUUUACUAAAAAGCCCGAGCCAAUGUGCCAACGUGCUAAUGGUGUGCCACUAACACGGGGGCAUACCACCGCCGCUAUGCCAUGCCAUGCCGCUAUCACAGCGCAAAGGCGGUGCCAUUGGCAUGGCAAUCCUCAGUGAUACCUAAAUUCAUUAUAAUAUGAUCAUGAAACAAUUGAUUCUUAAUGUACAUCUGUAUAUACAUACAAAAUUACAAAUGUAGCAAACAUAAGCCAAAGAUCUAGCAAGAUGGUGGAAAACGCAACUCUAAACACUAGCUAGUAUAUACCUGAAAUUCUGCAAAGGCCAACCAGACAUUUUCAUCAUGAGGAAAAUCUCUGGACUUUUUGUUGAAGUCUCUUGUCUUCCGAAUCAAUUCAUCAUCCCAUGAUGCUUCAAGCUCCCCCUUUGGUAUAGACAUAUCACCACCGUUUUCAGAAGACAAAUUCGAUCCCAAAGGUAUAUAAUCCUCGGGCACCAUUGAAGGCAUCUUUUUCUCAAUAAUUUUCACGUGCUUGAAACCCUUGUUUUUCUCGACAGUUGCAUACUUCGCUGAAUAGUAGCGACCUCCUGAUCUCAGUUUAUGGUCUAGUCCAUCUUGAUCUGCAUCUACAUCCAUGUGCGAAGCUGAAGACCUCCAGCGAUAACGAACUUGGAAAUUGAGCCCAGAAAGUUCCAUAAGACUAUGAAGCUUGUAACGAGCAAUAUCCAUUCUGUAGUUUUUACUCUAUCAUUAGAAAAAUCAAUUAAGGUUCAUCAACAUAUUACAAUGACUAGCGAGCCUGUCUAAUUUGGUAAACUAAGAGAGGUUUUUUUCUCAAAGCUCGCACCAUUCGCCAAAUACUCAAAAUAAUUAGUAAAGCCAGUCAGUUUCAAUUAGUCAAAAUAAUAGGUUGCGUAAACAAUUUUGCAAGAGAAAGAUUCAAGCAACUUAGGUGAUGACACUGAACAUCCAUAACAUAGAACUUAUUCAGUAGAACCAGAUGCAUACACAAUUGACAAUAUUCACAGAGCUCUGGUGCCACUGAAUUAAAGCACAACCAUCAUCACCAAAUUUGCUACUUUUCGACAAUAAAAACAUCAAUUACAUGAAGGAAGUAAAAAAGAACUAGGUGUGGAAGUAGAAUAAGACACCGAUAAAGAUAAAAUCAAUAUAAUAUAGAUUUUGAAGGUCAUAUGCUGUAAUAGUUGCAGAAGUAAGUGAAGCUCGAAACAAGAGAAAUGUACCUGUAGAUGCACCCGAAUGCCAAAUUAUCCCUAUCACCACAAGCAUCAAAGUAGUAAUCUUUCGAGGGUUUCCUCUCAGACCCCGCCCACGCUCGAACCCCCGACUUCCUCGAAGCUCCCUCUCCAACACCCUCCUUCCCCCGCUCUCUUUUCCUCUUCUUCUUCCUCCUCCUCUCCCUCCUCCUAGAGCUCCUCUCCUCUUCCUCCGACGAAGGAGACGGAGAGGAAGGGGAAGGGACUAGAUCGUAGGACUUCGCCCGCGCCUCGGCGGCGGCAGAAGGGGCCUCGUCGUCGGAGGAGGAGAUCGCCAGCUCCGGGGGAAGCGCAGCGCCGGCGCCGCCGCUCGCCGGGAUGGCUGAGACGUCGAAGGUGAAGCUGGGAUUGGAGAGCCAUUGGACGGCGCCAGAGGAGGAGAUGGAGGAGGCGGUGGGGUUAGGGUUUGGAGGGUUCGACGAGAGGGGAAAGAGGGGGAAUAACGAAGGGGUCGAGGGUUUCGGGAUCGCUUCUCGCUCUCCUCCCCCUUCCUCCGCAGCCAUGUUCGGGUUCAGGGACGACGACGACGACGUUUUCGGGCUCGAUGGGCUUCGGCGUGGCAUUUUAGUCCACCGCUCAUGCGAGUGUCACGUGUUGUGCACGUGAUUAGAGAGUGGUAAAGCCCACAUUGUAGCCGUGGCCCAGCCCAAUUGGGCUGCGCGUAACUGGGCCGGAUUCGGGGGAUCCGACCAUGCCCACCUCGAAUCCGGCCCAAAAUAUUUAAUAAAUUUUGGGUAUUUUGUUCGGCCAUGUUCAGAUUAAAGAUAAUAUAUUCAAUUGAAAUGAAAUUUUACGUGAAAUAUUUUUAUUUUCCACGUUGUACUUUAACGGGAACUCAAUGGCUUUCGAACUGUAGUUGUUCUCCUUUUUUUAUUUAUUUUACUUAAAAAUUUUCACACCAACACAGAGAAAGUUGAAUACAAUUCCAAUACUUAAUUUUUUAUUAUUUUUCAAUCUAAUGUUCUUCUACAGUUGGCUUUUUAGAGGCGUGAAGUUAUGGACAAAUUUAAUUUACGGUGAACUAAUCAACAAAAGAGUAUUUAAGGCCGAAAAUAACUCCGCGCUCCUUUCACUUUCGGUGAAGGGAAAAUCCACAAACUCAAAUAAGGUUCUGAUUUGCGAUUUUCAAAAUCACUAUCAUAGUUAAUAAUAUAGAUAGCUAGAGUUUAGAAUCUAAAUAAUCAACUGCUCUGCUAAAAUUUCUAUCAAGUUCUCUAAUUGUUCACAGCACACAACGAGAAAUUUGACAACGAAAAAUGUUCUUCGAUUUUAUAAUUUAUGAUCGUGCUAUUGAAUCUUGCCAAAGUUGAGAGGAGGCCAUGCAUGUUUUUGAACAAUUACGAGAGAACAAUUACGAGAGUACUAAAUUGAUAUAUUUUGCAAACUCUUAGUAGUUAUAUAAAAAUAUGGAUUAGUAAAAUACUACAAUACGUUAUCCUGUGAUUCGUAGAAUAUAUUAAUUUACUAAUUUAUGGUUUAUAAAUUCGAGGAAAAACUUUAAAUCCCCCCUUGUGGUUUCGUACUUUCUCACUUUAGUACCCUGUGGCUUAAAGUGUAUUAAGUUAGUACCCUGUGGUUUCGCAUUUUCUCACUUGAGUACCCUGUGGUUUAAUAUUUCGUUAAAUUAUAUACAAAAAAAAUUUAGAUACCCUAACUAGAUUUAUCGAAUAUUCAUUUUAGUACCUUUUAGUUUUAACUUUGUCACUGAUUUAACAAAAAAUGCUCUGAAAUGAAUAAUAAAAAGUGAAAAAUGAAACCACAUGGUACUAAUUUGAUACAAAAAUAAAACCACAGAGUACUAACUUGAUACACUUUAAAAUGUAGGGUACUAAAGUGAAAAAGUGCGAAACCACAGGGUACAAACUUGAUACACUUUAAACCAUAGGGUACUAAAGCGAGAAAGUGUGAAACUACAGGGGGUAUUUGAAGCUUUCCCUAAAUUUUAUCACUUUGGCAUCCUACUUAAUGAUAUAUCUUAACAGUAAGAUUGAUAAAAGUAAAACUAUAUAUUGCAUAGUAAAGUAAUUAAAACACUUCAAACUGUAGGGUAUUAAACUAAAAAUGUGCUAAACCACAUGAGAGCAAAUUGAAGUUAUCUUCUUCUUUCUUUUUUUAUGAUAUACCAUCCGAAUCGAUGAUUCACUUUACUUUGUGGGGUGUAAAAAAUGGCAAGUAUUUAUAAAUCAAAUUUCACAAUUUAACUAAUGGUUAUUAGGUUUCACAAUUACCAAUUUUAAUGGCUAAUGUGAAGCGCUAUUUGAUAGAUAUAGGUUUCACCUUAAUCUUCAAUUGCAUAAUAAUCUUGUUCUUUUUUUUUUUUUGAGAGAGAGAUAGGUAGCUCGCUACCUGCUUCGUUUAUUUCAUUUAGAAAUAAACUUAGCUGGAAAUGUGAAUCAACUAGGAUUCAAACUUGGGUCUUGGAUACCAACCAUCAAAUCCUUUGCCACUUGCAUAAUAAUCUUGUUCUUUGUUUUUAGCAAAUGGUUUGAUUUUGAAUAAUUUAUUUUCUUUCAGUUAGAUAGUAGAUGCACUAGAAAAGAAGUUUUCAUUUCAUUUUAAUUUUGUGGUGUUGGCUCAAGCUACCAGAGAAUAUUACUUUAAUAUUUUAUUUCUAAUACUCCCACUUUUUAGUCUCAAACCUUUAACUCUGAAACUAUAUUAAAUAAUAUAAAAUUAAUAUAGUAAUCCGUGCAAUGUGGCGAAUAGAUAAUUAGAGAAAAAAUAAAAAAUUACUACAAAGGAAAAGAAAACAGUAAUGAAAGAAACGAUAAUAAAGGGUGAGAUUUAUUUUGUUAAUGAAUAAAGGUAUCAGGCAAAGGAAGAGAAAGAGAAACAGUUCGGCCUAAUGUAGAAAUAUANAGAAACGAUAAUAAAGGGUGAGAUUUAUUUUGUUAAUGAAUAAAGGUAUCAGGCAAAGGAAGAGAAAGAGAAACAGUUCGGCCUAAAAAAAAAAGGAAAUCCGGUUCAGUUCAAACAAAAAAAGAGAAAAAUUAAAGCAAGUUCGGGGUGAAGUCCACACUCAAAGUGAUCGGAUCGGUUCAAGCAAAAAAAGAGAAAAUUUCGAUUCAAAGAUGAAAACAUGUGGAGCAGUUGAGUCAAUUCGGCACAAUGCAAUAGGUUGACAUGGUUCGGUUCAAACAAAGAAAGAGAAAAAUCGGGCUCAGUUCAAAUAAAAAAGAAAAAAACAUAUGGAAGACUUGAGCUGGUUCGGGGGAGGCCAUACUCAACAAGAAAAAGAAAAUUUUGGUUUGCUUCAAACAAAGAAAAAAAUAUAUAUAUGAAGGACUUGAACAAGUGGAGCCUACACUAAAAAAUGAAGAGAACGUUACACUGUAGCAAAUUUAAAAAAAAUUUAUUUUUUUCUAUUACAUUAAAGGAGGGUUGGGGGAACCUCAGGUUGACACCUGCCCCAACCCCGCCACUCAUUCAUCUCUCUCUCUCCUCUCUACUCUCUCCACCACACACACAACACACCGACAACACCAUAUAUAUAUUAUUAUAUAUUAUAUAUAUAUAUAUAAUAUAUAUAUAUAUAUAUAAUAUAGGUAAUAUAUAUAUAAUAUAAUUUUAUUAAUAAAUUGUAAUAACAGCUAUUAGUAAUAAAUUUUGAAUAUGAAAAUUUAAAAGUUUGAUACUUUCAAAUUUUAAAAUUUUAAAAUUUAAAUUGCUAAAUUCUUAAUUUUAAUUUAACUUAUAAUAUUCCAUUAAUUUUAAUUUAAAUUCUAAAUUAAUAUUAAUUAAUUAAUUAUAAUAUAAUAAUUAAAAUUUAUAAAUACGCUGGACAUAAUAAUUACGUAAUAAAAUCUAACACUGAUAGAUAUAAUUUAAAUCACGUAAAUAUCGUUGUUAAUUAAAAAAAUAGUAUUUAAAUUUUAGGAGUAAAAAUUUAAGAAAAAUAGUGUAUCAUCUGUGUAUAUAUAUAUUAAUUUUAUUAAACAAUUUCAUUUACAAUUUAUAUUUUGCCUUCUUUUAUUGACUUUUAAAAUUAUUUUGAUAGAUGUAUCUCAAAUUCUUUUUAUAUCUUUAUAAAAAUAAAUUAUUAAUUAAAUUUAUUUGCGUAUUUAUCAAUUUAUGAACUUUAUUUAAAUAUAGAUUUACUAUUAAAUUAUUUUAUAACUUUUUUUAAUUAAUAAUUAGACUUAUAAAUUAUAUAAAAAUAUUAAAAAAUAAAAUUUAUUAUAAAAAUAAUUUUAUAUCCGCAGCAUCUGUGCGGUAAUUCACUAUAAUGUAUAAAAAUAGAGAUAUAAACAAUCAUUUAUCUCUAAAAUUCUAAGCUAUUAGAGAACGAUAUUUUAAUAUUGCAUUGUUCAAUAUCUGAGCUCGAAUUCAAUCUACAAUCCAACCAGCCAGUCGAAGUUUCUUCCAACUUAUUUCCUAUGACAUAAUUUGUUAUAUCUAAUUUUACUCUAAUCAAAAUUCUAUACCUCUAUCAUUUAUUUGGUUGAAGAUGCAUAAAUUGAAAAUACAGUAAUUAUAGUAUAUGCAUUCUUGUUUAUUUAUUUAUAUGUAGUAAAACAUACUGUAAUUAUAAAUAAUUUAUUUGGUUGUACGCAGUUGAAAAGUGCAUUUCAAAAUUUUGCCACUUAUAAUAUAUAAUAUUAUAAUUAUAUAUAUAUAUAUAUAUAAUAUAUUAUUAUAUUAUAAUAUAGUUAUAUAUAUAAUAGUAGGACUAAUGUGCUAUGAGGAGCACAUCAAAUUUAUGAUUUUAACUUUCUAACCAUUUAUCUAUUUGAUGGAUGGUUAGGAUAAGAGGAGAAGAGAAAUUGAGGAGAAAUUUAAAAAAGAGAAAUUAAGAUACGUAAUUUUUCUUUAAUUUCUCUUCUCCCUCUUAUCCUAACCGGCCCAUCAAAAUUAAUAGACGUUUAGAAGUUAGGAGCACAAGAACUGUUGUGCUCUAGGAGCAUAGUAACCCUAUCUCUCUCUUCUUUCUCUCUCUUCUAUUAUAUAUAUAUGUCGUGGUGAAAUUACCUUUAAUAUUAAAAAAAAAAUUCCCUUCGAAAAAGAUUAGGAAGGUAAAAUUACUCCCUCCAACUGCUAUAAUGGGAACUGCGUCUAACUUGAGCAUGGUUCAAGCUGCAGUAAGUAAAUUUAAUGUAUCAAAUCAAAAAACUAAAUUUAAAUUUGUUAUAUGUUACUAUUUCAGUAUAGUUAAAUUAUAUGCAGUUAACAAUUUCUAAUGUACCGUUUGGAUUAGGUACAAGGGAUUUUUGUUUUAAUUAAAAUUUAAAUUUUUAAAAUUUAAAAUUGUAAUCUCAAAAUUAAAUUUAAUUCUAAAUUUUAAAGUUUAAAUUUUAAAUUUGAUUAUUUUUUUAUUUAAUUUAAUUUGAUAUUUUUAGUUUAAAUUUUAAUUUGUAUUUAUAUCUUCAAAUUUAAUUUGAUCUUAAUUAAAAUUUGAUAUUUAAAAUUUGAAGUUUAAAAUUUUAAUUUUAAUUUCAAUUUUAAAUUUAAAAGUUUAAAAUUUUAAAUUUGAAUUUAAAAUUUAAAUUCAAUCAAUAUUAUGAGAGGGUAAUACCAUUAUUUUCUAUUUAUAAUUAUCAACUAUUCUUCUUAUUUUAACUAUUUAUGCAAACGUUACUUCUAUUCUCGGAAACAAUCAAAUUUUCAUCAAACAAAAAUUGGUCUAGUUUCUCGCUUAUACCUUAACUUGUACUAUCAUGGUAUAAACUAGUUCUUACUUAUACCUGAACCAAACGAAGCUUUAAGUAUUUUUACAACACAGUGAUCUUUAUUGAUUUUUCUUAUUUUUAAUCAAUUUUUUGCUUGUUAUUUAAAUUUUUCCACAAAACCAAGGACUAGUUCAAAUAAUAAUUUGGUUUGCUUUUAUUUCAGUUUUGAACAACUUAGCUUUCAUUUUUGGCACAUUGAAGAUUCCAAUUAACGGAGUUGUACUAAUGAAAAGCACUAUAUGCCUACUAACUUUAACCUUAUUGUUUGGUUCGAGAAUAAGUCGUUUCUUAUUUGUUUCCUAUACACGUAUAAUUUUUAAAAUAAGAACGAAUAAGAGAGAUUUUUGUUUUGGCUAUGCUAUUUUGAAGAAUAAAGAGAAUAUUGGUUUAGCAUUGUUAGUGUACAAUAGUGAGAAUAUGAUACUUAUAAAUUUUAAAAUUAUUUCUUUUAGUUAACAAAUGUCCAAAUAUAAUCUCGUAAUAACUUAAUAAUAUUAAUUAUUUAGCUAUAAAUAUUAAUAAUGUGAAAAGUUAAGUGAAUAUAUUAAUUAUAAAAUAAAAGGUUGCUAAGUUAAUUAAUAAAUUAUAAAAAUAAUGAUUUAUAUUAAUUAAUUAAGUUACUUAACUAUUAAUCAAUAGAUAAUGAUCAAUACAUUAGUUAAAAUAAAUAAAUUGUCAAUAAUAUUAAUUAGUUAAAAAAAAUCCUAAGCUUGUUUCUCCCUAGAAACAAGCUUAUUUCUGGGAGGCUUAAAAAGUAUUCCCAAAAUACCAAGAUUGGGGAUAAGUUAAACAAAAUACUACCUUAAAGGCAUUUAAAAUGUUCAUAAGAAUUAAACUACUAGGAAUUAGUAUUCUAAAAUUAAAUUCGAACAUUGUAGGAAUUUUUGUUUGGUUAGUAUGUACAGCCCGGGUCCCUUUGAGUUUAAGAGAUAGCGGAAAAGCGUCUGAAUUUUUUUUUUUUUUUUUUUUUUUUUUUGAAAUCCUGACCCCAGAGUAUGCAGACCCGCCACAAAUACAGAAGAUUCCACUUCACACGGACAGAGUCUCCCCUGUAUUUGCACGGCGUCGCACAAGUACAACAGUACAAACAGGAUACAACCACAAAUAUAUGAAUAUAGAAAUUACCGUACAUUCAUACAUUCACCAUUCACAUCACAGAUAUGCAUUCAAUGUAUAAAUCCAUAGAAAAUCUUUUGAAACUGUUCCCUACACAGGAACUUUAUUCUUUAAAAACGCUACCACGAGUAGACAACCUUUUUUUUACAAAAAUCCAGAAUCCACAUUUCAAAUGUAAAUUAACACUGAACCACAUAAACCAACUAAACUAUUCACUAGCAAAUAGAAGGUAAGAAGUAAACCGAAUUAACCUGGGUCGAAAGCUCUAUCGACGCGUACAUCCGUACCUCACGUCGUCCCACUACUCAUCGCCCGCGAUACCUGAAAAAUGGUGGGGAGGUGAAACAUGUAAACAUGUCUCCCUCCCAUGGGUACCGCAAGCCGAUGAAGGCGAGGAAGUACUCACCGGAUCAGGAAGAGCUAAAUAACAACAAGGGUCAGUGGAAAUAUAGUAGCCACAAUAGUAAGUAAAGGGCAGAUAUACCGAAUACAGUAGCAAUAAACUGAAAGAAGUAAGAACUAGAUGAAUAACGGCUACCGCUACUGUAACUGAAACUGAAAGGAUACAUGAACAUCUACUAUAGCAGCAAGAAACUAUAAAGUAAGAACUGUAAAGUUGCAUGCAAUGACUGCUGCUAUAAACAUAUGCGUCAACCCGUCAAGAAGUCCAAAAGUACCCAAUCUGAAACCAAUGCUCUCUUGGUCAGCACCGCAGACCUCAACCAAUGCCCUGGAGGUCCGCACCGCAACACCUCCGACAUACUACUGCCGCUCUAACAUGCAUAUAACCCCUCUAGGGCUCACGGGUUGUCACCAUUAACCACUUUUCGAAAAGAACACUCCUUGCGGUGGAUCAGACGCCCAGUGUUCGUGAAUGCGACGAGUAUCGGGCAAUCAAUGCAAUAUGCUCAAUGAUCAACCGUCGGCAACCGGCCGACAAUCCUGCCCACAGGGCUCCACCGACCGUAUAGGUCAUCGACUGUAAAGAAGCACAAGAAACGACUCAACUCAGGUCAAAUAGGAUGGAACGACUCUACAUCCUCAUACUGUAUGCAAGUACUGACUAAUCAAGUCACUGGGAUGGAACAACUCAACAUCCUACCAAAAGUAUGAAGAUACUGAUCAAUAAGUCAACUGAGUAUAUAAUAUAGAACUAGCCGUCGGCCACUAGCCGACAAUUCCUACCCGCAGGUAACCCGACCUCAAGGUCAAUCAAACGACAAGAAUCCAGAACGACAGACUAGGUCACAAGGUCAAGAUGACGGAUCUGUGAAGACUAUAAUCAUUCCGUCGACAACUAGCCGACAAUCCCACUCUCAGGAUAUACCGACCUCAAGGGUCAUCGAAACAACAGAAUCAAGGAACCGAUCGAGUAGAUCAGAUUACAGGAACUAGAAAUCGACCGACUAGGUCACUAAUUUCACAGAUGGUCACGGAACCUCUACUAUAAACAUGAUAUAAGAUAUGAAGAACAGCAAGUAGAAGCAACAAGAAAAUUUGGUAUAAAACUACUCUACUCCUACACAGAUACUAAUCAUUGCAAACAACGAAGUAGAGUAAGAUGUAGACGAUAGAGGUGCAAAGGCUCAUAAGCUACACUAGCAUAGUAAUAACAGAGAACAGGGAUAGAAGAAUAUCACGAGCGGUGCACCACUGUACGACGUCGGAUCGAAGUACCCACCUGUACAACUGUCGGUCUGUCUCCUGACUGCAAAAGACGUCAACCGACUAAGGAGGUCCACUGGGUUAGUGUCUAACCCACAACUAAAAAACACCUAAAAGCAUAACCCACAACUAUCCACGGAGAUCGUUUCCCAAUUACCGAUUAUCUAACUCGCCGGAAGUCCCGAAAACCACACCGGACGCCGUCGGACCACUAAGUGUCCCGAAACUCACCGACUCAUGUCACGAGUCACCUGCUGCCCCAAAACACUCCAAUUUGGAUGUUUUGGCAGUAAACACAAGAUCACAACACUACACAACUAUCACCGGAUGAUUGUACGAAUCGCGGUUCCGGAAGUGUCUAUUUCGACACCGGAACCCAAGUCGCUACACCAUCAUCACCGAACCCACAAUGUGAUGAUGGUGACCAGCAACAAGGCUCACGGACUACACAAAUAGCUACGAAGCAUGUCGGAAUAUUCCCAACCAAACCGCGUUCCGUCGGGGAUUUUGCGACCAACGCCGAAAAUACAUAUUACGAUCUUCUCAAAGGUCUGGGCCUUGGACAAUCAGUCGAGGAUCACCCACAGCUCACCCAUGCUGCAACAGCGCCACGACAAGUCAAAUUGUCAUAAAAGCCCAUCCGAUUCCAAGAAAUCACAUUAUUUCAUGUGUUUUUCGGGCUUUUAUGGUCCGUCUAUGCAAACCAGAGGUCAAUCGGUCGAUAGACACUACUACAGGUUCGAUGUGCGGAGGCCGUGCUCAUCCUUUCGGAGCAAUUCCGCUACUGUACGGAGCGCACGAGCGGCGCGAAGUUCAGCGAAUAAGCCCGCACAGCGCGAAGAUCUACCUAAAACCUGCUAACCGGGCAUCCCUAAUCCUCGCAGAGGUGAGCAUCGUGUUCGGCACGAACCAGGAUCACCGUGCUCACCUCCUGGGUGUCGGGAGUCGUCGGUUCACCCGAAAGUGACCGGAAAGUGCAAUCACAGUGCAGGAAAGCUAAACUAAGCUUACCGGAGCUAGCAGGGACGGGUGGCGGCGGCGCCGACGGCGGCAGCGGCCAGGGGUUGGUUGCGGAUAAGGUUCCGAGGUGCCGGGGCUCGCGUCACAGGCACGGAAGGAGCGGCGACGACGAUCAAUGAUUGCCCUAGCACCAAACCCGUGGGAGCACGGGUCCAUUCCGGCGGACGGCGAGCUCCGGCCGCGGUGUCUCCGGCGAUUGACGGGUGCGGGCGGCCAGGCGGAGCCGGUGCUCACGCCGGCCGGGGCGAGAGGCGGCCGCAGCGGCGCUGGACAUCCCGAGCCCGCGCGGUUCACCUCGGGCUCCAAAGGCAGCGGAGCCACGGCGGCGACCGGAGGACGGUCGGGGCGUGCGGGGUCCCCUGGAGCCGGAGGGGAGGAGGACGGCGGGAGUAGUCCCAGGGGCCUGCUGAGUGAGGAUGAAAGCCGCACACUCAGCUCGGCCUGGCUCGGUCUGGGAGGCAGCAAGCAGCAGCGGCGGCGAUGGCGCUGGCGGGCGGGCGAUCAGUCGGGAGGUGCGUGAAGACACGGGCGACAGCCGAGCAAGGUGUCUAGAUGGAAAAGUAGCCUCGGUCGGCUCUAACCCGAGAGAAAGAGGUUUGGAGAGGGAGAUGGAGAAUAGGGAAGAAGAAAGUGGCUGCCCGCGGUGCCCGGCCGAGCAACGGUCCGCGGCGAGCCGAGGGAUGCGCUGGCCAGGUCAGCGGUGACAAGGAAGGUGGCUAGGGGUGGCUUAGGUCUAGGUUAGGUUUCAUGCUAGAAAACCUAGAUACCAUAAAUAAUAAGGUGAACUUUGCAACUAAGUCCACCAACUCAGUUUUUUACUAAGUCUUCACAGCGCGUGUAAAACACGGAACACCCCUCCACGAUGCGAUUCCACGCGAACGGUUUACAAAAAUAUCCGCGACUUUUGCGAAAUUACCGUUUGCCAUCGCCGACCUCUCAGCGAAACUUCGUAAUUUCCGGAGAUCCGUCAGUCGGAUUUUCGAUUCCGACGUACCAAUUGCGUUCAGCACGUCGGGACACGAAUCUGCAUUUCGUUUCAUCGAUUUGACCCCGAUUCACGACGAAAUCCGUCCGCUCUCAAUUUUCAGAAACCACAACAUAAUACCAAUGUAGUAAUCUCGCUAAACCUUUAAUUCAAAUUCAAAUUCCAAAUUUGGCUCCUACCACCAGUAGGUACUAGAAACGUCUCACUCAACUCUAGGUCACAUGCACAGAGUACGAGGAGCUUUAAACUGCACGAAUAGCACAGAACAAAAACCCUCUUUUUGAUAAAACUCCUUUUUCUCGAUAACCGUGCAUCAGAAUCCGAUUCUGUCAGCGCCAGUGGUUCCAGUAUAGUCGAGAGGUUCGAAACGAGCUAUUGGACCGCUAGGAACGGAGUCCGAUACGAGUCAGAAGCCAACUUCACACCGUGGCUUCUCCGGAAAAUCGAGUUACUAUUCACUUUAAGUGAAACUUGGAAAUCCUAUAACUUCUCCGUUUUAACUCGAUUUCUCCCAAAACUUGACGAGUGCUUUUGUUAUUAAAUUACACACAUAAACAUCGUCAACAGAGAGUUUAGUUGCACUGUAAAAAUCUCAGUCCUUACAUAGUACCUUAAGAUAUCUUAUAUUGAUACAAUCUCAAUGUUUGGUUCAACAUAAAAAUAAAUAAGGCAUAUCAAUAAGUUUAUCAUAAUAUCCUUAUUAAUAUGGGUUAGUGUUAUAUGUAUUUUACAUAGAAUAUAAUAAUAAUAAAUAAAUAUCAAAAUUCAAAUUAAGGAUGUAUUCUAGUUCAUUAAAAUCAAUUUUUCAUGAAAAAAAAAAUUACCACGAAAGGAGGCGGGUUUUGAAUUUUCCACGUUUUGUGGAAUUAGGAGAUGCUAUGAAAAUUAUAUAUUUAUCUCGAAUUAGGUUACCAUACUAUUAACAGCACUAAGUUAUUGAUGUUAUUAAAUUUUUCGCUCUUGGAUAAAGGGACGUGCGGUUAGGAAGAUAGUAGUCCUUAGGAUUGAGUGGAUGGUUGGUUAAAUAGUAUAAUCUAACAGAUGAAAAAGGUCAAAGGGAUAAAUCUAAUGGCAGAAAGUUUAGUAGCACCAAGCGCUUGGGGAUAUUGAUAGUGGUGUCAACGAGCCGAACACGAGUGAGCUGAGGAUGGCUCGUGCUCAGCUUGUUUAAUAAAUAAGCCGAACACGAGCUGACUCAUUAAAGUAUUGAACCAAAAAAUUCAAUUCAUAUUCAGCUGUUUAUUAACGAGUCGAAUACCAGCCGAACACGAGCUAGCUCAUGAACAACAAGUUAAAAGAAUUAUAAAUGAAGCGUAUAGAAAAUAAAUUUAAGAGAUCUUAUCUAUUUGACUUUAAUCUAAUAGUUGAAAAUUUAUAUAUAAAUGAUCUUUUUAUAAUUAAGUUGAAUUUUAUAUUUAGGUUAAGUUAAAAACCAAUUAUUUAUUUAUAUAUAUAAGUAUAAAAUUAUAUAUAUAUAUAUAUAUAUAUAUAUAUAUAUAUAUAUAUAUAUAUAUAUAUAUAUAUAUAUAUAUAUAUAUAUAUAUAUAUUCGAGUUAUUAUCGAGCUGAACACGAGCGGACUGACCCGAGCUCAUGUUCGGAUCAUUUAUUAAACGAGCAAUUCGAUCUUGAGCUUAUUUUAAGUCGAACACGAACUAACUCGCGAACUGAAGUGCCACCUCUAGAUAUUGAUAGCAUAAUGGACGGACUCUUAUUUCUGCCAUGUGAGAUUCUCGUCACAAACUAAAUAUAUGAAUUCUCAAUUUUUAAUCUAUAUUCCUAAAAUUGUAUAAAAUAUCGUGAAUCAUGCUGACCUUCAAAAGCACUCUAGCUUAUUGCCUUUUUCUUCAAUAGCCAAAAAAAAAAAAAAAAAAAAAAAAAAAAAAAAAAAAAAAAAAAAAAAAGAAGGUAUGCAGGAUCGUAACUUCAAAGCUGUGGCUUGAAAUUAAAGUUUACAAAGUCGGGAAUUUAGCCUCAGCUAAGAUACCAAACUAUCUUUCUCUCUCUUUCUGUGAGAUUCCUGAUGUUCUGUUGUGGAGGCUUAUCGGCAGCUCUGAAGAGUGUCGGGACAAAUCCGAGUCACGUUGGCGUCAAAUAGACGCAAAACGGACUCCGUGCGGCGCGAGAGUAGCUUAUAGCGAAGAAAUCUGCAAAACAGUAGAUUUUUCUGCUUACUGUACCGGUACAACCAGCACGCUGUACCGGUACAACCAACGCGCACCAACUUAUCUGCUCUCCGGUUGGCUCUUGUACCGGUACAGGAGCCCGUGUACCGGUACAAGAGGGUAGGUGUGAGGGUAAUUGUGUAAAUCUCCAUCUCGUUUGUAUCUUCUACCAGCUCCCUCUCUACAAAAGUUGCUGUGAACUGAGAGAGAGAGGUUUCCUUGUGCUCUUUCUUCCCCUCUCACUCUCCUGUCCGGUUGAAGGCAAGGAAGAAGCUCGAUUGGAAGGUUUGUCGCUGACGUCGUGCCGCGGGACCGUUCGAGCACACUUUUGACGUCGGGGUAGCGCGAGGGAGCCGGGCGAGCGUUGGUUUUCGCCGUUCUUGCUGUCGCAUCGGUGCUUGGCGUUGUCGAGGUGGGUAAUUCAGCAUUUCCAUUUGUUUUGGGCAAGUUCUUACUACUUCGAACUCAAGUGAUGCUGUUUUGCUGAAAUUCAUCGUCGACUGUUAGUAUUCAGCUCGUACUCAACGCUGGAGCAUCGGAUUUCGACGAGACUUGGUUCGCUGAAUUCAGGACUUCGAGAAGAAUCCACGAAGCCCUUACUUGCGGGAUUUGGUGAAGGUUAGCUUGGUCGAAACUCUGUUUUACUCUGCUGCUGUGGAUUUUGGACUGAAUUGAGGAUUUUCGAUGUUUAUAGUUGGAGAUAGCUUGAUUUCAGGACUUUGACAUUUUCAGUCGAUCCAGCAGGUUGUUUCGCAGCCGAGGGAGUUCCGUGCUGCCAGGGAUUAGCGACCGAGGUGGGUUACAUCGGUUUUGAUUUCUAAGUUCUAAUCGUUGACAUGUAUAAAUUUCGAUUUUGGUAUAGUAUAUUUUAGCUCGAAUUUAUGGAUUUUAUUAUAGAUUGCAAAUCUGAAUUUGGAGUAUGUGGUAAUAAAUUGAGUAGUUUAUACAUGUUGGAUUUGAAAUUGGAAUUAGAAGAAAACCUGCGUUUUGGACCUGUCACUUGUGUAAAUUGCCUGAUUUAGCUCUAGAAGCCGUUAUGAAAUUGUACUGUCGCAGUAUCCUCGAGACGAGUACUCCAGAUAGUUUAGCAUGCAUUUACACUCGUGCUGGUACGCCGAGUGGAUUUUUAUAGGGUCGUUUGGAUUGUUUCGAACUUUUGGGCGCCGUUGGGGUUGACGGUGGGCCCGGUUCGCCGUUUUGGCGUCAGAUUGUGCCGAGAGCACGUUACUUGUUGGUUAUUAGACCAGUUAGAGUCGGUUACUUAGAGUUUGGCUUGACAGAGCCUGAUUGAGCUCGACAGAGAUACGCUGCAUAUUCGGUUGGGUAGCGCCCACGAGUGCCACUCCGGAGACGGGUUUUGUGCUUUUGUGUUGGUAUCGCUCAUGCCGGUUGGACUUGCUCUCCACGGACCAGUUAGUGUGGAGAUAGCUGGAUAGUUGCAACUGAACCGGGACGGGUGUGUUCACGGUCCCAUGGACGGGUAUGUUACAGUCCCGAUUGGAUUGGGUUAGAUUGAAUAUUUUCCUACAGUUGGUUAGCGUAGAGCAUGAUAGUGUAGUGAUUCAUAGCGGUAGAGUUCAUUCCUGCAUUUACUACUACCUUUGCUCCCUACUGUAGACUUAGUGGGUGGACCGAUAUUGUUUUGGGCGGCACCCACUAAGGACUACUUGUUUUUACAGUAGUUCUCACGCCCAGUUGUUACCCCUGUUUGGUAGAGCCACAGGUUUCGGCUGCUGCGCCUUCUGCGGAUCAGGAUCGAGGCAAGGGUGUCGCGAGUUAGAGCCCUACCCGCCGAGCAGAGCUAGAGCCACCCUACUGCAGGUAGUUGUUUUAUUUUGAGCUUAUGUACAUAGUACUUAAUUCGCCAGUGCGAGUAACUCUAUAUUUUGAUUUUUGAACUAUGUAUAUGAAGCUCAGUUUGUUUAGCUUUUCUUUGCUCGAGCAGUUUUAUACUACUGUUUGUAGUAUUGUAUGUUUACAGAUACAGCUGUCACUUCAUAUACAGGAAAAAUUUCUUUGUAUACGACGGAUUUGUCGGCGUGCCCGAGAAACAAGACAUCCGGGGCGUGACACUUUCGCUCCAAAUAAAUUAAAAAAAAAAAAACAGAUUGAAUCCGUCCAAACUCUAACCCAUAUGUUUUGGGUCUAUUUAUUUUUGUGAAUUUCAAAGGUUGAAUUUGUGACUUUAAAAAUAAUCGUUGGCAUCAGCGCUUGUUUCAACCUCGAAGUCAGAAGAUUAUUCGAACUCUCACUUAUAAUCGUACAAAAAAUCGAGUUCUUCCGAACCCCCAUCUUAGACUCAAAACUUCGACCCUCCAAAUUUUACUCUCGUGUUUUACUAGAUAAGUUUGGCCACAUACCAUUGUGAUUACACUACAACAAAUUUUACAUUUAAGGACGCUUUAAAUUAUAAUUAGCGACGCUUUAAAGCGUCGGGAAAAAUAACGCCGACGCUUUUAAAAGCGUCGGAUAAAGAGUCGUUAAAUAAACAUGUCGGGACAUAUAUACCGACGCUUUAACAUAGCGUCGGGGAAUUUUUUUUCGACUCUUUUUAGAGUCGGUAAUGUGUUAAGUGCCGACUCUAAAAAGAGUCGUUAAUUUAAACAAUUGCCGACACUCCAAAGUGUCGGUAUAUUAAGAAAUACCAACAUAUUACCGACUCUAAAAAGAGUCGUUAAUUUAAACAAUUGCCGACACUCCAAAGCAUCGGUAAAUUAUAAAAUUCCAACAUAUUACCAACUCUAAAAGAGUCGUUAAUUUAAACAAAUACCGACACUCCAAAGCACCGGUAAAUUAUGAAAUAUCAAAUAAACACGUCAAUACGAAAACUUUGUAAUAAUGAACAAAAAUAUUAAAAUGUUUCAACAUUAAUAAACUUCAAUCAACAAUGCUAAUCCUAAUCAAGAAAUCAAAAAUUCUCUACUAUUGUAUAAGCAGGGAAUAAUAGGAACAAACAAAAAUUUCAUCACUUUUUUAUUCACAAUGAAUUAUUAAUCGUAUAGCGUAUAUAGUGUUUUCAGUUUAAACGAAUGCCCUCCGGUAAUGUAUAUGUAGCCGUAGACAAAAUGUGAUGAAAAGAGUUAUAUGAGCAGAGCUCAACUGCUUUAGGAUUCCCACCAAAAUAGUAUAUGUCAGACAAUAUUCAUCCUGCAAUAGCAAACAAAAAUUAAAGUUAGUACAAAUACUCAAUUCACCAAUCUUAUCGUUGUAGAUAGAAUGUGAGGAAAAAAGAAUUUGUGAUUAAAGCUCUAGAUAGUUAGGUUACGAUACAAAUAGACGCAUAUCUUUAAUUGUAGGAUCAUCAAAUUUCUUUUCAAAAACUCAAACCCAAAGCUUAUUAACAAUCUCAUAGUGCAAGGUUUAGAUAAUCAAGCUUAAGGAAUAGUACAUCAGAGAAGUUUCAGAACCAUUAAGAAGAAGCUACACCGACGAAUCUGAAAUGAUGCUAACUGCUGCAUGCAUUACCGAAAAUCUUGUAUUAUCUAUUUACUUUAAAACGCAUGAAGAAGGGAAUAACAACAAAUCAGAUACUUUGUUGCUUAAUUGGGGCUGUCGGAUGAGAUAUGUUCGUUUCUUAAUACUGAAAACAGAGGAACUAAUUGAAAAGGAAAAAUAUUUCGUGCAACAACAAGGUUGGCUUGCAUAUUGUUUUAAGGAAAAUUUUUGUGCUCAAUUUCACAAGAACAUGCAGAAAAAUAAAAAUAAUACUAAUAGCUUCAAUAUGCACUAUCCAAACAAUCAUUACUCUCGAAAAGGAGGGAAAAAAAAUAGACAUUAAUUAGAUGUACCAAGGCUAACAUAAUCUUUAUCAAUAUUCUAAGCAGAAGCUGAAUGUUAGGCAGCACCUACUUGAACUUGCAUUAAACUAAAAAUAAAGGCAGAUUCUCAUGUGACUAGGACCACAGCUCCAUAAAAGAUGUGCUCUCAACAGUAUUUGCUCAGGACCCACCUCUUAAAUUCUUCUUUAAAAGACAAAGAUAUUGUAAUGCACUCAACGAAAAGAAUGGAAGCUCAAUUAACUUCUGAAGCAUCAAUGCAGUAACAAUUGACACAUAAAAUCAGAAAGUUGGGCCAAUCAAUACACUACAAAGAAGAUGUUAGAAAGAAAAUCAUGUGUAGAUUUUCCAAACCCUUGUUGCCCGGUCGAGAUGGACCAAAAAAUCGCUUCCAUUUCUAGAAUGUGAAAUUAAGAAUACUUCACACAAGGAGAUUCGUAGAUAAAUAGAAAGUAAUAGAUAAAAUUAAAAGCUCCUCACAUCUCCCUGGAAAUGCACUUUCAAAACUACUUACAGAUCAAAACUAAAUUAGCCAUACUUUUAUACAUACAUACAUUAACAUACAUAUUCUACGGAAGUUUGUAAGCAUGCACCUGAUGAUGCUCACGUCGUUGGAACGUUGCCCUAGGUAAAAUUGUCUGAGAGCCCCUUCAAUUAAAAAGAAAAGAAUCUUAGAAUACUUAAUCAAAUGCUAGCUUUGUUCAAUAAAAAUUCAUUUACCUCAUUGCAGUUUUGAGGCGAUUUGAACUAAUAGCUGCUUCAUAUCUUCCAACUGUGAUUUAUAAUUCUUUUGCAUCCCUUGUAAUUUCUGCUCAUAAUUUUGCUGCAUCUCUAGCAACUUAGAGUCAUAGUUACUUUACAAUUAGGCCCAAACCUAUGAACUUAAGCUGUUAAUAUAAAUGGGUUCCGGCAAAAAUACCGUAUCAUUUAAAAAUUUUCUAGACCAGUAUUUGAAUUUGAAUCCUAGCCGAAUAGCGAAAUCUCAAACCCAAAUCCAACCUAUUUCUACGUCCGUUAACAGCUAAUAAAUAAUAAUCAUGAAUUUAGAACACUUAAUUAGAUAAAUUUUCUUUUAAUUGUAUAUAUACAUAUGUAGGAGUAAGUAGGAGAAAAAAAACCUUUUGCUAUCGGAUAAUUAUCCUGGGAGAGAGUAAACACACUUGGGGCCACAACUUGAAUAAGUGUUUUUCUUUUAUUAAAACUUAAAUAAGCUCACACUUCUCACUAGUUGCUAUGACAGGAUCACUUCUUGUAUAUAUGCUGAGCUCCACUAUAGUUGCUCUCCUAUUGUUCUAUAGGAUUUAUCAUAAUGAGCAUCUUUUGAGGAAUCUAAAAAUAUAUUAUCAGCACUUCCAUCUUUAAUCCCCUUUUUCGCAGAUUUGCCUUGCAAAAUCAUUCAAACACCCCAUCUCAUCUACUAAUUUAUCCUUGUAAAUUUCAUAAUGAAUAUGCAAUUCAAAGAUAAAGCUAUAGUAAAAGAAUAACAAAACCUAUUCAGUGUGACAUCCAUCUAACUUUUAUUCCAUUAGAAAGUAUAUAUUCUUCAAAUUUGCAUACACAAAACCUAUUACUUUUGAGUGAGCAAACAUUUUGCACCAGUUAAAUAGUUGUUAUUCACUGAAUUACCACUUGAUGAUCAUCUCAACUAAGGAUUAAAGAAUGAAUGUGAUCUCAUCUAGCCAUCAAAGCAAUAAUGCGAUUACAGAAAACAAGGGAAUGCAAUUACAAAAAACCACAAAAGCCUUAAUUGUAAUUCCAAUGCCAUUUUACCUAAACUGUAGGGAGCAAAAGCCCUGAUAAUGGGGAAAUUUUGAAACAACCUGCAGGCCAGUUUUCUAAAUGUACUAGAUAGAUAAUUUGGUACCAUUAGUCAAAUAUACAGGGACUGCAUAUGUUUUCCAGUAUUUCAAUAUAGCAGCCUAAAGUUCAAGUACGUAUCAGCUGGAACUUGGAUCUCUCCCAGUUAAUUGAUCUGAACUAUGAAAACUAAUUAAGAUGUAUAAUUAUAUCCUAGUACUCCUAUAUAUAUAUAUAAUAGCAACAGAUCUAAACUAUGAAAUUUUCCAACAGAGGCACAAUCAAAUAGCAAAAAAAUAGAUAAAAAUACUUAAAUUGGCAUAAAUCCAAACAUAAUUAUUGAAAAAGAUAACGAUCAACGCACCUAAGGAAGCUUUGAAGCAAUGCGAUCAAAUCCAAGCGACCAAAUAGGGAAUCGCAGUUUAACUCGAUCGGCUCAACAGAUCACUUCGAAAUUAUUCAUAAACCGGAGAUUCCUAUAUUUUUCUGAAAAUCGAGAUUGUAUAUGAGAGUUACAACAUUAUUAUAUUGACAGGAAGUAUAAGAUAUCAUUCAACUGACUUGUGACUGUCACAAAGGAGAUUAACAGCAAUUAGCAAGGACCUCACUAAUGAAGAAUAGAAUCUUACGAAGAAGCUUUAGCUUCCUCGAAGGAAUGCAAGAAAGAGCACAAGAGAACAAACAGGACAAAAAAUUACUAUUGUGUUCAGUAUUCACUAACAAUCGUUACUAUGUUUGGACAUCACAAACAGUCUUCGAGAUACUUACCUUCUUUUAUUAAUAUUCGGGGUUUUAAUCUCUCCAGGUAAUAUAAUCACUAUCUAAAGAUACCUUGGUUAAAGUCUAGAGACAGGCAUACCUCACUCCAUCACCAGUUCUGACUAGCAUAAACCCUUCACGUUAUAAUCAUGUCAUAGAAAUCUACUAAAGAGUCUCCUGUUUCUUCUACUUUGUCAAAAAGAAGCUCAUUGACAUGCUUUAAUGCCCUACAUAAACAUUUGCAGUCUAACCUAUUCAAAAACAUGUUGAUAAGAAUCCCUUUUUUUUUCUCUCUGUUUGAAUAAAGAGGCCCAGUGUAAGUUCCUGCUUCUGAAUAAAGAAGUUAAUAAAUACCUAUCAAGGAGUGUUGACAUUUUGUUGUGCUAACAUAUACAUUCUGAACAAGCUUAUCUUCUCAAGGUCUCUAAGCAAAUAAUCACAGAUCUGAAAUUAUUUCCCAUGGCCUAGCUGGAAUUGCAAAAAGAUAGUGGAUGGUGCUUCAAUUAAAAAACACUGGUAAGGGAUUAUACCAGUAUCGAUGGUGAUCUCUCUUGAUCCGUCGUCCGAAUUGGAGCUUAAUUUUGCCGAAAACAAGCACAAGAAGCAGCAGAGGAAGAGGAGCGAUGUGCCGCAGUUUGGGAUUGAGCUUGGAUUUGUGAAGAGGACCACCUGUGACAGAGAUGUUAACUGGGAUACAAUCAGAAAAAUCUAAAUACCUAGCUGAAAAUAACAAAUCCAGCUACAACACAACCAAGCAAAAAUUAAGAUAUAGAAUAAAAAUUUACACUCUACAAGUACAAUAUCCAAUCUAACACUAUAUAUAGAUCAAAUAAGAAGAGGAGAUCAAAAAAUUAUAUGAAAUUUUCCAACAGAGGCAAAUAGCGAAAAAGAUAGAUACAAAUACUUGGGAUGAAUCCAAACAUAAUUAUUGAAGAAUAUAAUGAUCGACGCACCUAAGGAAGCUUUGGAGCAGUGCGAUCAAAUCCACGCGAUCAAAUAGGAAAAUCGCAGUUUAACUCGAUCGGCUCAAUCACUUCGAAAUCACUCAGAUCUUCGAAAUUUGAUCGCAGCAACAGAUCGAAGAGAGGGCGAGGGAGAUGAAGAACAUUUCGGAGCCCUAAAUGAUCAAUCGGAUCUCCGGAGGACAUCGAAAAAUUAGGGAGAAUUAAAAGGAAAAAAAAAAAGAAGAACCACGUAGCUGAGAAUUCGAUUUGAAACUUUGAACAGGACAACAUAGCGAGUAGGAUUAACUCUAAUUUCGCAAAAAUAAAUUAUACAGAUCGCAACAACUUCAUUUGGAUCAAGAAAUAGUAGCAGAAACUCAAGAGCCGUCAAACUAAAAAAUCACUAAAAUUUUUUCCCAAAUUUUAACUUAAAAUCCCCAGAUUCUUCAGGAUCGGCGUUCUUCGCACUCAAAAAGCCUAAAAAAGGACGAUAAAUUGAGGAAAAAAAGAGCCCAAUCAUCGAAUGAGAUUGAGAAACUGAAUCGAGAGAAACAAGCGAAAUCAUAUGCAAAAUUGAACCUAUCAGAUCGUCGAAUCACUGUGGAAUCACCCUCGAUUCGAAUGGCUUCGCGACAUUUGGACGCAGAUAGAAAAAUCGAACUCUCUCUCUCUCUCUAGUUCGCUUGAUCGUUCGCUCUCACUCGAUCUCCGAAAUAGGAAAAUCGCAGUUUUUCGCCUCGAUCGAGCGCCGGGUUGAUGAAGCUGGGGCGUGCGAUGAAGAGGAUCGAGCUCCGGGUUGAUGAAGUGCGUGGGUUUACAUGGGAGUGGAGAGAGAGAGGGCGUGGGUUUACAUGGGAGUGGAGAGAGAGAGAGGGCGUGGGUUAAUUGAUGAAGCUGGGGCGCUGGGUUGAUGAAGAGGAUCAGACAUGUGAACCUCUUCAUUGUGAGAGCACUCAUGGUUGCUAAUUAAUUGGAAUAAUUAAAAAAUAAUUUAAUAUUAAUUUAAUUAUUAUAUUUGUUGAGAGCUUGUAAUAUUCUCUCGUGUUAAGAUCUAAAUACUUUUUUAAUUAUCUUGGAUUUUAAUUAUCUUAUUUCUAAAUUAAAAAAGCUAACUAAAAUUAGCUUCCUGUUAGCCAUUUACAUUUGUUGAGAGCUUGUAAUAAUUUAAUAUUAAUGAAGUUCAGACGGAAAAAUUUAAAAAUAAGCUAAUUAAAUCAUAAUUAAAAUAAUUAAAAAAUAAUUUAAUUACUUACGACGCUUUGGAAGCGUCGUCAAGAUACUUGUUUAUUGGCGACGCUUAAUCAUAGCGUCGGCAUGUAUCAAGUAUUAAAGACGCUUGAAUAAAGCGUCGUCUAAAAAACGUCGGUAAAAAUAUAUUUUGUUGUAGUGUUACGAUCGUAUUUGUACUUAUAAAUAGUUUUCCAUGUUGAAAUUUCCGAAUUGAUGAUCAAUACUUUUAAACAAAAUUUUAAAGAUUUAAAUAUUUUAAAGAUCAAAUUUUAUAAUUUUUUGAUAUUAUAUAUUUUACAAUCAAAGAGCCUCAAAAUUAACAUAUUUAAUGGUCAGUAUGGGACGUCCAUAUCAAUUGUGUAGAAAAAUUGUAAUCGGUUGAAUUUUGAUAGAAAAUUUUAUUCACUGUAUAGAUCAACAUUGAUAACUCUGAUCUUAAAUUUAAAAACUUCAUCUGUUAUUUUUAAGAGAUUGUUUGAUUUUAUCCGUUCAUUUUAUAUCCGUUUUAUGAAUUUUAUUAUAAAUUAAAAAAAACCAUCAAAUUUAUUUUUUAAAUAUUUCAAAUAUUUUAAAUUAUAUAUAAUGAUGUCGAUUGUCGAUUAUAAAGUUUAAUCAUAAAAAAUAAUUGGAUAAACUUCAAAUACCAUUUCUAUAGUUUCGCACUUUCUCACUUUAGUACCAUGUUGUUUAAAGUGUAUCAAAUUAGCGUCCUGUUGUUUCAUUUUUAUCUUUUCGCCAGCUUUUUCGUUAAUAUUUUGUUAAAUUAUAUACAAAAGAACUUCAAAUGCCCCACCUAGAUUUACCGAAUAUUUACUUUAGUACUCUUUAGUUUUAACUUUGUCAGUGAUCUAACGAAAAAAAUUAGUGGAAUCAAUACUAAAAAAAUAAAAAUAAAAAUAAAAUCACGGCGCACUAAAUUGAUACACUUUAAAUCACAGAGUACUAAAGUGAGAAAAUUUGAAAUCAUGAGGGUGGUAUUUGAAGUUUUUUCAAAAUAAUUUAUAAAUAAAACAAAAGCCUACGUACUUGUAAUAGGAGUACACUAAUUACCCUACUCCAUUUAAGAUUUAGGUGGAAUAUCACUUCCGAACGAAGCACGGUGAAGUGACUUUACGGUCCACGAACCCAAAGUGUGGAGUUUUUGUCUGGACCAGGUCUAUGGACCAGACAACUAAAUCGGUCAAAUGGGACUAGGGGUGGCAAUCCAGCUCGCUAUUCGCGAGCCAGCUCGUGUUCGGCUCGAAAUGAGCUCGAGAUCGAAGCGCUGCGUUAGUAAACGAGCGCCGAACACGAGCUGAAUUUUUCGACUCAUUUAAUAAACGAACCGAACAUGAGCUGGGGUCAGUUCGCUCGGUGUUCGGCUCGAUAACAGCUCGAAAUUAAUAUUUUUAAUUUAUUAUAAUUAUUUUAAUUAUAUUUAUAUAUAUAAUAUAUAUUUAUAUAUAAUAUAUAUUUUUAUUAUUUAAUUUUUAGCAAAAGAAAAAUAUAAAUGCGGAGCUUAAUUAUAAAAAGACUCAUUUAUAUGUAAAUUUUCAAUUAUUAGAUAAGUUAAGAAUAAGAAUUUUAUAAAUUUAUUUUUUAUAUAUAUUCAAUCUAAUCAUUUUUAACUUAUUGUUUGUUGGCCAGCUCGUGAGCCAGUUCAUGUUCGGCUCGUUUAUUAACGAGCCGAACACGAGCUGAAUUUUUUGACUCGAUCCUUUAACGAGCCGGCUCAUGUUUGGCUCAUUUAUUUAAACGAGCCGAACACGAGCCGGCCCUAGCUCGCUCGUGUUCAGCUCGUUUACACCCCUAAAUGGGACCAGAGAAAAUGGCGCAUGCGAACAAUUUUAGCGCCUAACUUCCGUGUAUAUUUUGUCCGGUCUACAGGACCAGAUCCAGACAGAAAUGUAUCCGGCCUAACACCAACGAGUUGGUUCGUGCUCCACUUGAACCCUCAACAAAGCAAAGUGCUAGGGAUAUCCCAAAAUGCACCCCUUGUUUUCCCAUUACUAUGGCAAAAUCAGCUUUAUCAGAUCUAGCGCCUGGAAAAAUAAUUUCUGCAGAAUUAAUUUUGAUUUGCAUAAAUAAUUUUGGUUAAAAACUAUAGAGUAUUUAGCGGAGUCUAAAAAAAUAAAUUUUUAAAAAUAAUUUUGUAAAGCUGUUUGGUAAUUUUUUUUGCUGUUUACAAAUAAUAGUUUUUAAAAUUUUAAAAUUUAAAACUUAAAAUUUGAUUUUAAAAUUAGAAUUGGAUUUUAAGAAGUAGAUUUUAACUUCUUUUAACUUUGGAUCUCUAAAAUUAGAAAAUUAAUUCUAAAAAUUAAAAUCGGAUUUAAAAAAGGAGCUACCAAGUGCUCUAUUAAAAAAAAAAAAAAAUUUUGGCUCUAAAAUUACUUUCUAAAAUUUAGGCUAAACACCUACCUAUUUUGAGUUUUGAUAAUUUGCGAGCAUUAUUCAAAUUUUAAAAGUAACAAAAAAUCGUAUAAAUUAUUCAUCAUUGUUCCAAAUAAUAUCCUCUAUAAUUGAUUUUUUGCCCAAAAAAUAUGUUUUGUGCGAAUUUUUGUUAUUUUAAAAAAUGGGAAAACUUCAAAAACUCCCAUUGUGGUUUUGCAUUUUUUCAUUUUAGUACCCUGUGGUUUAAAGUGUAUCAAGUUAGUACCCUGUGGUUUUGCACUUUCUCACUUUAGUACCUUGUGGUUUAAAGUGUAUCAAGUUAGUAUUCUGUGAUUUUAUUUUUGUAUCAAGUUAGUACCAUAUGGUUUUAUUUUUAUAUUAAGUUAGUACCCUGUGGUUUUAUUUUUCUCUUAAUAAAAUAUUGAAUCACGGGGUACUAAAGCGAGAGAGUGCGAAACAUCAGAAUACUAACUUGAUACACUUUAAACCACAAGGUACUAAACUGAGAACGUGUAAAACCACAGGGUACUAACUUGAUACACUUUAAACCACAUGGUACUAAAGUAAAAAAAAAAAGAAACCACAAGAGGGGUAUUUGAAGUUUUUCCUUACAAAAUUUGGACAGUAAUAUGAAGUACAGUAACCUUAAGAUGGGUCUAAGAUUUGUUUUUUUUAUUUUAUUUUAUUUUUAUUUUUUUAUUUUAGUAUUAAAACUCCAGAGGCAUGAUGAUAAGUUUAGAACAAAUGUUGUUUUGCUACUGUCUUUAUUUCUAGCGGCAACAUUUUUUAUAUAGAGUACUUCAUAAAAGAAAAAAAUUAAAUUUUUUGCUGCAACAAAAAAUAAAAGACUUAAUUACACUCUAUUAUGUUAUACUUUACAUAUUUUUUUAAAAAUUCUUAUAUCAUACUAGUAGUUUUUUUCAAAUGUACCACUUAAUUAUUCUUUUUUUAAAAUUUCUAUACUAGAAGCAAUAAAUCUCUAAUUUUAUAUAAAAGCGGUUAAAAAUAUUGGUUAAAAGUAGUAGAAUAUAUAUUUAGGUUAUUUUGACAUGAAAAAAUAAUAAAAUACAUAAAAUAAGAAAAAAAUAAAAAGCAACUUGAUAGAAACUUUUAAUGAGUCUAUUUAUAGAGAUUUAUGUUACAAUUUUUCUUAAUAAAAUUAUUAGAUUUUGUCUAAAGCAAUAGAUGUAUAAGCAGUAGUAAUAUAGAGAUCGGUAAGAAAAAAUAGUUUAAUAACAUCUGUGAGAAAAAAAAUAGUAUAAGUUAGAAAUAUAAAAAUAAAUUUAUAAUAUAGUGUAGAUAUUUAUAAAAGAGUCAUAUUUCAACACACCAUGUAAAUCUUGACCAAUUAUUUUUCUAAAUAAGUGAUUGAGAUGUCGUGACCAACUAUUAAAGCAUAGGUACCAUUCUCCAUUUAUCUAUCUGAAGAGUAUUUUAAUCUUUGCAGAAUGUUUUGGUUCAUAAAAAAGGUUUUAUCCAAUUAAGGACAUUACAAACUUUUCCAAUAGCUAAAACAAUAAUUAAAAUUCAAACUUACAUCCAAACCGUAAAUUCAAUUUGGAAACAACAUAAGAAACUUAAUUAUAAGUCAAAUUCAAAAUUUCAAAUAUAAAACACAACUUUAAGAUAAAACUUUCAGUUCAAAUUCAAAAAUUCAAUUUAAAUCAAAAAUUAGAAUUUAGCUUUAAAGUUAAAAGUACAAUUUAGAUUCAAAAUUUAAAAGUUUGAAUUUAAAUUUCAAAAUUAAAAUUUUACAUUACAAUACCAAAUUCAAAAAUUAAAUUUAAAUUCAAUACUUUUUUUGAGUUGGAUACUUAAUAUAUUGGGUACUCUCUAAUUUGGUAAGUGAACAAAUUAAAUAAAAAAAAUUAAAAUUUGUAGGGCACUAACAAAUUUGGUAUAUAAUACUAAUCCUUUUCCAAUAUUGUGGUGUUAACUAAUCUAAACUGGUAACAUGUUUAGCAAGUUACAUUAUGUAAAACCAAUCAUACCUUUUAUUAAUUAACAAUUAGAUUUAAUAUAUAUGAUGUAUUGAAUCCAUAGUUAGUUAAUUCGGAUUCAGCAAAAAUUCGGUACGGAUAUAAUACGCAUAAAAUUCAUUUUCUAAAUUUUAAAUUUGUUGAAAAAUUCGGCUUAAAAAACGGAUUCGGUAUAAAAUAUAAAAUAUAAGAUAUAAAAUAUAAGAUAAUCUAUAUUUAAAUAUAAAAAUUAUAUAUUUUUUUAUUCAUAUUUUUAAUAAUUCGGGAAUAAUUUGCGAAUAAUUCGCGAAUUUUUCGGCUGGCCCAAAAUUCGCGAAUAAUUCUCGAUCUUUGAAAAAAAUUUGUAAAUGGACCGUUUAAUUUGGAUUUUCAAUAAUUCACGAAUAAUUCGUGAAUUAACUAACAUAGAUUGAAUCUUGCUAAAAUAUAAUAAUAUAAUGGUGUGUUUGAAAAAAAAUUAUAUAAUAUAGUAAAUAAAAAUAAUACUAAAGUACAGUACAGUAAAAUAUAAUUAAGUGGGAAAUGAAAACUAUAUUCCAAGCCUUAAAAAGUAGCUCUUAGGAGAAAAGUGACAAGAAUAUACCAAUGCAAUUUUUUUUUUUAAUAAUAUUUAUAAAUAAUAAUUUACCAAAUAAUACUAGUAAGUGGGUACACUUCGGAGUACCCAAAGCAAAACGCAUCCUCAAAAUUCUAUUAUUAAGGUUUUUUUUUUUAAAUUUUUAAUUUUUAUAUAUCCUACCAUUUUUGCGCUCUCACCAAACUCCAAGCUCGUACUAAAAAUUCAUAUAAAAAAAGCUCUCUCGCGUCAAAAGGUAGGAGAAAGAGCGCGAGAGAGGGCGAGAGAGCGCGAGAGAGGGCGAAAUGGGCGCGAUGCGUUUCGUAGCGGCGGCGAUGUCACUUUGGAUCUGUUUCGGGAUCGUCGGAGUCGCAUCGGACGCGUCGGAUCACCGCUACAACGCGGGCGAUCCCGUUCCCCUCUACGCCAACAAGGUCGGCCCCUUUCAUAACCCUAGGUAAGUGUUUUUCCCACUUAUUUUGGUAAUUUUUUGGUUGCAUCAAGUGCUUGAGAUCCCCCUUUACUAGAUCUGUUGAUGUGCUCCUCGGAUCUGGGGUUUUCGUUUGGUUGUUGUAAUUUGGGGUAAUUGUAGGAGAUCUGGCGAAAAAAUCAAUAUUUUGUUAUGAUUCUUUUGUUAAAAAGGGAUUUUUACAGUAAUUUUAGCUGUAGAAGCAUCAAACCUGGCAGUUACAGACGACCUGGUGCUCGAAAGUUCAAGUUUGUUGAUUCUGAAGUAGUUUGAAUUUGCAAAGAAAGUUUUUUUUUUUUUUUUUUCAUGGUCUGAUGUUGGAUUAAAGAUAUUUUUAUUGUUUGUUCAAGUAGGAAGGAUUAACAUUUUGAAUUAGGGUUUUGUUUUAAGGUGCUUAUUUUGUCUUCUUUAGCUUUGACUAAGAUUGGUGAGGAGAUGUGGUAAAUUUUAGACUUUUUGAUGGUUUAUAUUGCUUUAACUCAGGCAAAUGAGAUAUUUCGAUAGCAUUUUGUGUUGCUGCUUUAGAAUUUCUUUAGUAGAGAGAUACCUUUGAAUCUCGAAGUUGGCAUUAAGUCUCCUUGUCUAAUUAUUGCGCUUGUUGCAGCGAGACGUAUCGGUACUUCGAUCUCCCAUUCUGCUCCCCAGGUGUGCUUCUGGACCUUAUUUUGUUCGAUUUUGUUUUGAUGUUUCAUUAUUUGUAGUUUUAUAAUCAAGUGAAAUUUGUUGACAGAACAUCCGAAUGAGAAAUCAGAAGCUCUCGGCGAAGUCUUAAACGGAGACCGCCUUGUUGACGCUCCCUACAAGCUCGACUUCCGUGUGGACCUCGAUUCCAAGUUGGUAUGCAAGAAGAAGCUCACUAAAGAAGAUGUAGCCAUGUUCAGAAGUGCGGUCACCAAGGACUACUACUUCCAAAUGUACUAUGAUGACCUGCCGUUAUGGGGAUUUCUUGGGAAGGUCAGUAGGGAGGGAAAAACCGACCCUAGCGAGUAUAAGUACUAUCUUUUCAAGCAUAUCCACUUUGAUAUCCUCUAUAACAAUGAUCGGGUGAUCGAGAUCAACGCCAACGCUGAUCCCAAUGCUUUGGAGGAUAUCACCGAGGAUAAGGAUAUUGAGGUCGAGUUCUUGUACUCGGUGAAGUGGAAGGAGACGAAUACGCCCUUUGAGAAGAGGAUGGAGAAGUACUCGCAGUCUUCCUCGCUACCACACCACUUGGAGGUCCAUUGGUUCUCGAUAAUAAACUCAUGCGUCACGGUUCUGUUACUGACAGGAUUCCUCGCCACGAUUCUCAUGCGGGUUUUGAAGAAUGAUUUUGUCAAGUAAGAAUUCUCUUCGUUGUCCUGAAAAUUGAUCUUGAUCUCGUAUUGGAAUGCAGUAGUCCCAACAGUAAUAUUAUAGCGAUAACUGUGGAACAAUUACUUGAUGAAUUACUUUGUCUGCUUUUGAUUCUUCACAUUUUAUCUCAGUCAGCAACGCUCAUAUGUUCGCAAAAAUUUACUAAGCUUCAGGUACUUGAACAUUGAACCAUUCGUAUAGUGUGAUGGGUGAUGGCUUGAAUUACUCUUGAGGCAAACACCGAGUUUGCUUAUUUAUGGCAUCUAAUCUUAUCUUGUGGCAAUAUGAGUCGAUUUAUUAUGUAAGAGAGAGGAUUUUGUUUUUCCUGAAAUAACUGCCUAUUUAACAUUACUAAAUUACUUACAUAAGAACGCCGAGUCUGCUUAUUUAUGGCAUCUAGUCUUAUCUUGUGGCAAUAUGAAUCGAUUUGUUAUGUAAGAGAGAGGAUUUUGUUUUUCCUGAAGUAACUGCCUAUUUAGCAUAACUAAAUGACUUAGGUAAGAGAGAAAUGUCUUAGGUUUUUUCGUGCUGUUCUUUUGAAAUUUGAUGUCUAAUUUAGAAGCAGACUUUUGGAACUGCCACAUAUUUUUAGAUCUACUUUUGUUGGUGGCGAAGUCAUCUGCUUUGAGUGAAAUUUAUAUUGUUUGUUUGUCUUCUUUAUGUUUUUUUUUUUUGAUCAACACAUGCUUUUAGUUACUUGUACAGGUGAAUUUUUAUUCACAUUCCCUUCAUUUUUCCUAUAAUGCUACAGGUACGCUCACGAUGAGGAAUCCGCAGAAGAUCAAGAAGAGACUGGAUGGAAAUAUAUACAUGGAGAUGUCUUCAGAUAUCCGAAGAACAAAUCGCUCUUCGCUGCUUGCAUUGGAUCUGGCACUCAGCUAUUUGCUCUGUAAGCUUCUUGGACUUUUUUUUUUACUGUAUAUAAUAUGGAAAUAUUGAUCUCUGCAUAUAUUGGCACAGAAUGCUUUCUCAAAAUAUGCUUUGUUGUCACUGGUCUUUCUUACAUUGCCUUUUUUCAUUGCAGCACAAUUUUCAUCUUUCUUUUAGCUUUAGUUGGCGUGUUCUACCCAUACAACCGAGGAGCUCUUUUUACUGCGUUGGUUGUAAUAUAUGCACUUACAUCUGGCAUUGCUGGUUAUGUUGCAACCAAUUUCUAUUGUCAACUUGAAGGAACAAAUUGGGUGCGUGCUUACUCCACUUAAAUCUACUGUUAAUGAUUUAGGAUCCAUUUGGCCUAGAUGGAGCUUCUACAGAAGUGAAUUGUUUGAACAAUUAAAUGUCAAUUUGUUCAGUAAAUUUCCUCAAAAGUCUUCUGCUGCAGCAACAAAGAAAAAAUUGGAGUUUUUGCUUUUGGGGUCCAGAAGCUCAUUUUUGCUUUUAUGCAGAGCAAAAGCUCUGGAUAUUUUUGUUUGCUGAAUGCUUGGGAUGCUGCUCCUGGAAGUAGAAGUAGAUAGUCUAUUUUAAAAACCAGGCCUAACAUAUUACUUACAUUGUUUCUUUGUCAUGCAACUUGUAUCACUGUUUCUUUAUUUUUCUCCCUCUCUCUCUUAACACCCUUGUUGUUUUGCAGGUAAGGAAUUUGCUUUUGACAGGAUUUCUGUUUUGUGGGCCUCUCUUCCUGACAUUCAGCUUUCUCAACACUGUCGCCAUUGUAUACAGUGCUACAGCAGCACUGCCAUUUGGCACCAUCCUCGUUAUUCUCCUCAUCUGGGCACUUGUGACUUCUCCUCUGCUUAUUCUGGGCGGGAUUGCUGGCAAAAACAGCAAGGUGGAAUUUCAAGCACCUUGUCGGACAACUAAAUAUCCUAGAGAGAUCCCGCCACUGCCAUGGUAUCGCACAACUGCUCCACAGAUGGUGAUGGCUGGUUUUCUUCCGUUUAGUGCUAUCUACAUCGAGCUUUACUAUAUAUUUGCCAGUGUAUGGGGUCACAAGAUCUACACUAUAUACAGCAUCCUCUUCAUAGUCUUCAUCAUUCUCCUCAUCGUCACUGCCUUCAUUACGGUGGCGUUGACCUAUUUUCAGCUUGCUGCUGAAGAUCAUGAAUGGUGGUGGAGGUAAGCCAUGAAUCCAGUUGCAAAUAUCAAGCUUAGGUGUAUAAGUUAUUUUGUUUCAUUUAUUAUGUUUUCCCCUAAGUUUUAGUGGCUGGUUACCUUAACUUUUUCCUGGUGUCUCAAGCCUUUAAAUGAGUUAUUUUGCCUUUUAUUAUAGACCAUGGUACACCACUAUAUGGAGGCAAACAUACAAAUAGUAAAUUAUUAGGACAUGUUCCCUGGAGGUUUGCAGUUUACGCAUUCCAAAAUAUAAAUUGUUGUCUUUUAGAAAAUAAUCAGACCAUAUGACUUGGAGUUUGAUAGGUAGUAGUAGUAGGUUAGGUGGUAUUGAAACACUAGAUUCCAAUGGCAAAUCUCAAAGUAUAAAGUUUUGUUUGUAUAUCAAACAUGCUUGUCAAUGACCUAAAUUCUCUCUGCAAAAUCUUUGACAGUUGUACAGCUUCCUCGACAUGUUUCCCAUUUACUUACUCUCUAGGAAGGUGAUUAAAUCUAUGGACAUCUGAAAUUCUGUUUUAGGACAGAUGAGAAAGACUUUUUGAUAGUUUGAGCUUUUUGUGAGAGUUGAAACAGAAUGCAUGAAUCAGUAGAAUGAAAUUUGGUACUUCUGUUUGAUUGUAAUUGUAUUGGAAGCGCGAUCCCUACAAAUAUGAGUUUGGAGAUGUCCCAUAGGUAAUUGCAAUGAGAAUAAGCUUGUUGCCUUUAAUUUUUCCUAGUUCUGAAUGACAUGGCAAUUUUGGUGAGUUAAUCAAGCGGGCAUCAAGAUAGAGCUUAAUGCAUUAUCUUCGAGAGAAACAGCUUUCUAUAAGAUUGUAACUGGCUAUAUGCUCUAGCUGCCACGCAAUCAAUGGACAAAUUUAUACUCAAUAGGUGUUUUUAAUUUCUUGAUAAAUUAGGGAGUAUUUAUUUUUAACCCUUGUCAUGUAGAUUUUUGAUGCAUUCUCCUCGUGUUUCUGAUUCUCUACUUGUAGAAAGAACCAACUGCUUUUAUGCCAGCCAUAUUUCAACCCUUGAAGUUCCAUAGACUUUCCCAAUUAAUCUGAUAUUUUAUCAUUUUAUGAGUGAGUGUUAGUUUCAUAUAGUCAACUUCUUUUUUUAUGAUUAUCUGUAUACCUGAGUUUAAUGCCCCCUAAUGGUCAUUAUUAGUUUUCUGAUAAAAGAAAUUAAACUUAGGGCAAAGAGUAUUAAGUAUCAUAGUUGUGAUAUUAUCAAUGCAGACUUUGUGAUUGUUGUUACAUUUCAUAUACAUCAUAAUCAUAAUAUACGCCCGUUUACUUAAAAUAAUUUGUAGAAGUGUUAUUUUCAUAUAGCGUCGGGAUAGGCACUAGCCUAUUAGUUGAAAACCCUCAACUAGCCUCCUACCGAAGCAGAAGUUCAAAGUUGAAGCUUUUGCUUUUGAUACGCCCAAAGCUAAACUAAGGUAACUGCCUGUGAAGAAGAUAUGGGCUUUCUGCUUGUGUUAGGUCUGGCAUCUUAAAAUAGAGCAACUGUUCUAGAAGCUGGACCAAAUGGGCGUUGUGGGCCUGCGUUAACGUUUUGUUUAGAAUUUCUUUUUUGUUUACUCAAGGAUAGUGGUGAUUUGUUGAUGGGAAGAACUAGAUAUGUUUAAAUGCAAAAAUAUCUGCAGUCCACAAAAUAUCUAUAGUUUCUUACUCAUUUUCUCUGAAUAUGACAAAUCACCUCAUAGGUGGAAUGCACCAUCGUCAGAAACCAUUAUUACGAGGGCCUCGCAAUGGACUGAAACUUCCAUGUUGCCAUCACUAAAGAAAAUUCUCGUACUACAAAAUUUUACCACUUGAAAAACUUGUUCUGACAUUAAACUUUUUGGGGCCAUAUCUGAGUCCUCAAUGUAGCAGCAUUGCCGUGUUUUACGGAUGUGUAAAGAUUUAUAAUUGUGAUUUAAAACUGUAGUGCUGGCUCUGUUGCAGGUCAUUCCUCUGUGGUGGAUCAACAGGCUUAUUCAUAUACGGUUACUGUUGGUACUACUACUAUGCGCGGUCGGACAUGUCAGGUUUCAUGCAGACCUCUUUCUUUUACGGGUACAUGGCCUGCGUCUGCUAUGGCUUCUUCCUCAUGCUCGGGACCAUCGGCUUCCGUGCUGCCUUGUUCUUUGUCCGUCACAUAUAUGGAUCUAUCAAAUGCGAAUAAUCUGUUCCCGUAUAAUGCCUGGUAUUAAUCUUAUUCUUGUGCUUAAUCUAACCUUCUACUAUAGCGAGAGAGAUAGAGAGAGAGAGAGAUAGUAUACUUUUCGUAGAAGGUGAUUGGAACUCAAAAAGAUGCGAAACAACUGAUAGAGUUAAAAGGAUCAACUUUUUCUUUUGUCGAAAGCCGAAGCUCGUAUUGCUGCAAUCAAGGGAUUUUUUCUGGUUCAUUUUUUCUUCUAUUUCCUGGGUAACUCUAUGGAGAAGUUUGUACCAUUACAUAUACCUGCAUAAUUUUAGGUUGUUGUAUGUUCCUUCACACCUUAAAUUGACAGUGGAAAUCAACAUCACCUUUUAAGUUGGGGGUUGUGAACUCAUAUUGACUUGUUUUAUAAUUUUUUCUAAAACUAAAUCAGCCAUGUAAACUGGCAAAAUAAUCUAUUUACUUAUAUGCAUUUUUUUUUUAAAUUUAAAUUUUCGAAUUUUGAUUGAUACUCUCCAUUGCCAGGCAAAAUCUGUUCGCUUUUUAUUUUUUAAAAUAUAUUAUUGGUGUGUGUAAAAUGACCUGUUGGGUUAACAUAACAAUUACCUUGUCAUGCUUGAUUGGAUGUCUUUCUACUCAGAUUAUGUAGUCUUUUGACUCAUCUAAUGUGUAGAAUUUUUUCCUCUCUUUUCUUUUUGUUUUUUUUUGCUUUCUAUUCGUAUAUGUACGAUCAAUCUAACAACUGUAUUUAACUAUAGAAUCUCAGUGAAAUUGCAUGGAAUGAAAUGGAAAUAAAAAUAUGAGAGUUCAUACUUAUAAAAAUUCAAAUUAUCCAUAAAAUGAAAAGAGUGAAAAAGAAAAAGAUACAUUGCACCUAUUAAGAAAUUACGAGGCUAAUGGAUCAAUUGGCCUAGAAAGGUAUACCACAAUAAGAAGCUAAUUAAUUGCACAAAGUUGCAGUAACAUAUGAAGAAAUAAAUAGUGCUUUCCACAUGAGGGAAAAGACAUCAUAAGCAGCAAAGCCUUCGAAAGUAGAAGCUUCAACUUGAGGCUUCUGCAAGCAGGAUUACGCUUUAUAAGCAAGCAAUUGUUCGUGUACUGCAGUUUGCAAAAGCUUCGGUAGAGCAAGCCUAAAGCAACUGGACUUACAGGCUCCGGGCCAUUUGGUACGCAAAAUUGAAUAUGAAUAAGAUUAGAUAAGAUUAGAUAAGAUGAGAGAGAGAGAGGGAGAGGGAGAGGGCGCAAGUCACAACAACUAUAUGAUUGUCUCGUGGUUUAUAAUAGAAUUCUCGUCUCCAAUCCUAUCCAAUCUCAACCUCUUAGGUGGGAGUUGAUGCCCUAAUCUCAGCAUCAUUUUUUGGUUCAAUCAAAUUCAAAAGUUAUGAAAAGCCAAAUCUUGGACAACUCCUCUUGAUGUCUCUCUCUCUCUCGCGCGCGCGCUUUUACUCCUUCUCCGGCAUCUCUCUCCUCUCUUAUUCUAUUCAAUCCAAACAGAACUGUCUGCACAGGGACAGGAGAAUUCAUCUUUUGACGUCAGUAGGUGUUAAGACUUAAAGAGUGGAACAUUCAAUUUGUUGGCAAAGGGCUCUUACUUUCGGCCAACAAACCACAUGCAUCCACUAGCCAUUUGGUCCUCAAAUCCUAUUUUCUGAAACCUUUUUAUCUUCUUUUCCUAUUGAUAAUUAAAGGUUCCUAGAACCUAUAUGGGGACAUCUACUGAUCUACGCAAGCUUGGGAAUAAUUUUCUUGUUUCUUUUGUUACACUAAUCAGAAAAAAAAAAAAGAAGUGUAAAGGCAACAAAUACAAAAAAGAAAAAGCCACUGAAUUUAAAGCUUUCUACAAUUUCUUAAUAUGUUUGGCUAUUUCCAUAUAUAUAUAUACUUUGUCCACUCUUAUUUACUUGUGCAUAAACUGAAUAAUACGUGCGAUGCUAAUCGGCCAAUUUCAUUUAAUUGUAAGUAAACGGAAUUGAAAAGUUACGUAAAACAUACUCUUUUAUUAGUUUUGGCAUUUCCAAACGUGACGAACAUUUUUUAUACACUCAUUGCAUUCCAUGUGACUCAAGUUCCCAUGAAAUUUUUGUUUUUGUUUUCCCCUUUUGAGUAGAGACUCAGCUUCCCAUACUUUAUGGAAAGGAUGAGUGCUCUUUCCUUCUUUUUCAUUGAUAAUUUGUUUGAUGAACUGUUAAAGCUACAAGAGAGAAAUUCCCCUCUCAAAAGUGCAAAGAUUGAAAGAGAAGAGAUGAGUACAAGUUACUAUUAUAUAUACUUAGUGAGAGAAGAAUAAAUUCAAAUUACAAGAUGCACGACUACACAAUAUAGUUUUUAACUGCUAACAGUUAUUAAGAACAUUUUUUUUUUUUUAUCUCUGCACAAUAUACUAAUAGAUUAUCAUACAUACAUUUCAUUUUUUUUUUUAAUAAGUGCUUUUGUUGUCUUGUAGCAAAAUGGAGGUUUGAGUCUUGGUUUCUUGUUAUAGAAACAAGAAACAAGAAAGUACAGCAUAAAGCAUGGCCAAGAGAAUCUAAGUAGAAAAUAGCAUGCAUGUAUGCACAAAAUGACAUUUCAAAGACCAAAAAUGUCCCACAAUAGAACUGUAAUUAGAAGCCAUUAUAUAUAUAUAUAUAUACACACAUACAUGCAAGUUUACAGAGUUUGGAUAGGAUCCAAGUCACCAAAAUAUAUAGUACACACCAAGUUACACUAAUUGUUUGGAGUAAUCCACAAGCUAUUACACACUACUUAACUAAAAUGGUGGGGUUUAAUUACUUUACAAAAAGGAAGAGGGUCAUUCCAAAGAUCCCAUACAUAUAUAUUUAUAUAUAUAUUGUUUGACCUUUUCCAAUUCUAUAGUUUGAGCCCUCACAUGGCUUGUUUUGUGCCUAGCUCCUUCGGGGGCCUCACAAAAAAAGUGCUCUUUGGAAAAGCAGCUCCUAGCUACCAAAUAAGCUUUUGGAAUAUAUAUAUAUAGUCCAACUAUGGUAUUUGUAAAAGCACCAAGCAUUUGGUGUUUGUAAAUUUUUUACCGUUAGAUUUAUACCUUUGAUCAUUUUUAUCCGUUAGAUUAUACUAUUCAACCAACCACUCACUCAACCUUAGGGGGCAUACAUCAUCCUAACUGCACAUCCCUUAAUCCAAGGGUCGAAAACUUACAAGCACCAAUAAUUUGGUACUUUUAAAAACAUAGGAGUUCAAUUUUAUAUAUAUAUAUAUAUAUAUAUAUAUAUAUAUAUAUAAAAUUGAGCUAGAAUACUUUUACAAGUAUCACCCCUUUAGUGUUAUUAGGUUUUUAGCCCUUGGAUCUACUCCUUGAUUACUAAUAGCCCUUGGAUUAAACACUAUUCCACCUACCACCACCUACCACCAUCAUCCUAACCCUACAUUUCUCUAUCCAAGGGUUAAAAACUCACAAGCACCAUCCUCUUGAUGCUUUUAGAAGUAUUCUAGCUCAACUAUAUAUAUAUAUAUAUAUAUAGAGUGAGGCUACUAUGCUAUCGGAAGCACGGAGCCUUCCGUGCUUCUAGCUCGUUUUCGAUGUUGCGACUUUCGAAUCGUCGAUCGGCUCCGUUAAACUUGAUCUAGAGUAUUUGGAGUACCUAGAAAAUAAAUUUUAUUAUUUUUCGAUAUCAUUUGCCUAGUGAUGACAUGAUCUCAAAAUACAACACAUUUUAAAGGGUGCCGUAUGAGGCCGUUGCAAAUUUAAACGGUAGAAUAUUCAAAUCACGUGAAAUUUUAUAGAAAUAUUCUUUAUACUAUAUAAAACAGAUCACAAUUUUGAUUAAAAUUUUAAUGUCAUAUUAUUACAGACAUGUUUGUAAGAUCUUUUAUUUUCACCGUUGAUUUAAGUCCUUCUUCACUACACACACCACACACGAAACAUAAUCAAUUUUAUUUCUAUGUACUAAUAUGCAACAAAUACCUAAAAUAGUUUAAACAGAAGCCUCGCACGAUGUACGAGGGGAACGCAGACAUCUGGGAAAACCUGAAGCUGGAAGCACGGAGCAGGCUCCGUAUUCCGAUGGCAUAUGUAGGCCUCACUGCACUAAUAUAAUAUAUAGGUAGUGAAUAGUGAUAUAUAUAUAUAUAUUCAAUAUAUAAUUGAUAUAUAUAGAGUAAUGGUGUACAGAUAUUUAGCACAUAUAUAUACGUAACGAGUAGGGCUAACGUGGCAUUGAGACACAGCAACCCUUAUGCUUUAAACUUCUAACGCAGCGACAGCAGUGCACAGUUUGAUGUGUAAUGAAGAGACGAGAGGCUAUAGGUGACAAAAGAAACUUGGGUGUUUCAAUUAUUCUACCUCCUUUAGAAUUCUCUCAAUAGUCUCUUCCUCUCUCAUUCUAACCACCCCAUUCAAACUUGAAUGAUGGUUAGAAUUUUAGGUAUCACAAUGCUACGCUUUGCUCUAAUAGCACACAGUAGGCCCUAACUCUCCGUUCUCUCUCUCUAUAAAUAAUAAUAAUAUAUAGUGUAUAAUAUAUAUAAUAUACUGUAUAUAUAUAAUAUAUAUAUUACUAUAUAAGUAUAUAUUAUAGUUAUGGAAGGUCAGGGCCUGCUGAUUGACUCACAUCAGGCAGCACUGAGUGCCUCCGUCGCUGCUGAUAUGUUUCGAGAUAUGGAGAUUAUUUCGAAUCUAUGAUGCGUGCUCCGUAGACUAUAGUUCUACGCCGAUUUGAAGUUUCCUAGGGAAAAUAAUUUCGAUAUAUUCCGCAUAUUCAUAUUACCGUAUAUCGAAAGAUUCAAAAAUCUAUCCAUAUUUUUAAUGUUAAUAUCUGGCCGUUUCCAUUAACGGUGAUAGAAUAAUCAAAUUAGAUGAAAUGUUUAUAGAAAAUUUUUAUACUAUCUACAACAAAGAUCUAUAGUUUCUAUGAUCGAGAUAAAUCUUACGUGCCGGGAUAUGCCCGCCCGGACUUUUUUAUAGGAGUCUCUUUGUAUUGCAGCCGUUAAAAAUUAUGAUUUGAAUACUUAUCGAUGCUAGUAAAUAAUAUCCGAAAAAUCGCGCUAAAAAUUUAUUUUCAUAUAAAACUUUAAUAUAACCUAAGAUCAACGUUUAAACGAAGAAGGGAGACAGGACGGCCAUCGAUCGUGCGAUAGUUCGACAAGUCGCAUCCUCGAAAGAAUCCGGCUUCGACACGAGGUUCUCUCCGGUACUCGCGUGGAGUAGGCAUACAGCAUGCCCCGUGGUAUCCGUGAUAAUAUGUACAUAUAAUGACUACAUAUAUGUAAUAGCAUAUAUGUAAUAUAUACACUUAUUAUAAGUCAUAUAUAUAUUAUAAUAUUGUACAUAAAUAUGGUACAUAAUUCGUAGUUUAAGGUAUACGAGGCAUAGUGUACUCAUUAAAUAGUGUAUUAAGUUAUAUAGUUUGCAGUUAUAGUUACAUAGUAUACUUUGGUACAUUAUAGUAUCAGUAUAGUACACAAUACCCAUAUAGUUAGCAUAAAUAGUAGCCAUACAUAUAGACAUAAUAUAUACAUACAUAUAUUACAUGUUAAUAGUAUGAGAGUACAAUGUAGAGCAUUUAUAUAUAGACGUAUAUCAUAUAUGUAAAUAUAUAGAUGUAUAUAUCAUUAUACAUAUAUAAAGUAUGUAUAGUAUAUAUAAUAUAUAUUGUAUAUAUAAUUACAUAUAUUAUUGUAUAGUAGGUUAUAAUGAUAGGUUAUUAGCUAUAAUAGCUUUAAUAUACCAUAGAGGUAGCAGAAAGUAAGCAUGCUACUCAUUAUACGUAAUUGGGUGCUUUAUGACUCAUGUAAUUUGUUCAAUAGAUAGCUUUCGAUGAUCGACGAUCCAUUCUCCGUUAAUAGAUUUAGAGUAGUUAUGUGUCGACGUGGCCCCGGCGGGGCAAGAGCUAACGAAGCGCCGCGUGGCCGGGGUCACGUUGCUCUCUAUACCCCAUUGGGUGUGGGGGCUGUCUAAAAGCGCAUAGAGCGUCUAACAGUACUAAUAGCAAAUGAAUAAAAUCAAUAUCAAAAGCAUCUUAACAGAGUACAGAGCAUAUAAAUGUCUAACAAUGACUGGUACGUCAUAGAACAAUAAGGAUAAAAACUAUAAAAUCCACUAAAUAAGACAUGUAAUAAGGGGCGGGGGGGGGGGGGGAAUGGGAGCGGGGGGACUAAGAGGCAAUCGCCAGAAUACAAGGCUAAAGAGUGGUACAUUAUGGGUCUCCGCUACACAUGGAUGAGCAAAAAAUCGUAUCUCUCUGCACUGAAAAGGGAAGUAGAUAAAGCCACCAGGAGAGUGUAGUCGGGGGGGCGUCCUCGCGCUAGCGUACUGUACGGCUGAGCUCCGGGGGGGGGGGCAGCGGCGCCCGGCCUUGGCGCGCUAUCCCGGUGGUGGCCUCGCCGGAGUUCGUGUGACGAAGCUACUGAAAGGAUAAUAUAAAACAGGGUGGAGUAGCUAUAAGAUGAAACUAUCUAAGGAUAUGAGUUACCAGUGUGGCAAUUACUACAGACUUCAGUGAACACCAAAAGGAGGCCAAAGCUACAAUAGAUUCAGACUAUAACUGUUAGGAAAAUGAAAGGCAGUAAAAUAUGUAGCAUUACUACAACAAAUAUCCUACUUAUAUUAAAAUAGAUAACGAUAUGAAAAUUAAUGAGACCUCAGAAGUGAAAGAUUCCUCCACACAGCGUAUCAAUGAAUGUUAACGACGGCAGCAAUGAAACUGACAAAAUAGAAAAUUUCCGUCAUAGUUACAAUUCUAGUCAAAUGAAAUCCUAAAUAAUACUGAGGCUAAUGAAAGCGACAAGCCAAAAGACAACAUCUGCCAUCGUUCGCCAUGUCAUGAUAAGGAUACUCAAGUCAAAUCUGAGAGACACACCCGAAGCAGUCAAAUGACAGCACUGAACCCACCCGUAGGCUUCUGGCCGGCCGAGCAUAAUGGCACACGUCGUGUAUCAUCAUCCCACCCAAUAGAAUACCUAUCCCUAACGGCAAUCACUUCGGCGCCCAAUCAGCACGGCCGAAUAUGAAUCGUCUAGAUGAGCAUCUCCCAGGAUCCGCUUGAGGAGGCACAUCAUCACAACUGUGCGAAUGAUCACAAUGCAAAUAUCAAACGAUCAUCCAAGUACCAUCAAAUUUCUCAUGUCUCAGUAACUGUAUAAUAGGCAAAUGUCCUCGUCCAAGUCACUAUCUUAAUCAUAUCUCAAAUUGAAUAUAUUGAAUGUCAAUGUGGCCUAUUAUCAAUCCUAUGUUGCAUAUAGUUUAGUAAUUCUCCUAAGCCAAGUCUCAUUUAUGACACUCAUGGCUCAACUUCUUCCCAACAUGAUAAUAAGUUCAAGAUCAUAUAAUGUCUAAUCCAAAAUCGAAAGCAUAAACUUUAUUUCCUUAUAUCAUCUCAUAGAGUAAUUCAUCGUAUCAUAUAACAAAGACACAAUUUUUUUCUCUCUACUAUAUAGAAACUUUCUUAUGACAUAACAUAUGAGUUCUAGAGAUUCAAAAUAUUCCAUAAAUCUACAAACAUAUAUGCCAUGAAUUUGAAGAAGAAUAGAACAAUUUAAACACACUUAGGAGGAAUUUCCCCGAUUCAAGGAAGCCGAAACCCACCGAAAAGAAUCGACUUCUUCGUUUCGCCGAACCAAGAUAUCCACAAGAUCCCUAGAACAAGACGGACUCAAACGUGGAAAACCCCUUUUCCCAUACCUCAAAUGGAAGGUAGACGUGUCUACACAAUUAACCUAUUUAAAAAGUCAACACAUUCAAAAUGAGAUCAGAAAGCCUCAAAUCCAAAAACCCCCCAAAUAAACCCUAAAUACCAAAAUCUAGGUUCAUACUAGUACAGACCUAAAAUACAUGUAUUAAAAUGGGAUUAGUAGAGCUAUAACCUCAAGAAAGCUCCAAUCCAAGCUCAAAACCAAGUAGUGGUUAGUUUGAUCUGUCAACAACCUGAGAAGCUCCACCCGUGAAAUGAAAGCCAACCAAAGUGAGAAAUAGAAAAGUGAUGCUGUCACAAUCCUCUAUGCAAGCUCUAUCACUACUUCUUCUAUCUACCCUCUUUUUCUCAACGUCCCUUUCUCUCUCUCUAGAAAGGCAAAAUGGUGAAGUGAGAGAAUAUGAUAAGGACGCAUGCAUACUAAGCCUAUCUCUUUAAACAAUCCAGCUAGCCUUCUCAAAAAUCAAUUUAUAACACGCCGACUGGGCAUUUUCCUAGCCCAAGAGCGGUCUACUCCCAAGCAGAUCGUCUCCAAUCGCUGCGAAACGAAACCGAAAAUCCAGAUUCGAGAACCACGUCUCUCCACUGUCGAGGGACCGGUCACUCAAUCACACUAGAUCGUUGUGCGAACGCGCCGGAACCGUCUCAAGCUGCCAGCGACCGUUGCCUCACGACUCGCCAGAGCACACUGUUCAACUGGAGCAACCCGAGUCUCUCCUUUCCAAGAGAACCGUCCCAGAAGUAAAAACUCUCACGACUCGUCAAAACAUCCAUCGGUAGAUCAAACUUUGAGACCACGUAUAAUACCAUUGACGGCCUGACCCCAAGUGCUGGAACGGGUUCGGAAAUACCAUCCAAACACUCGAACCAUCGCAAUUUACAAAGGUCCAGUGCGUUACAAUUUGAAACUUCUAGAAAAUAAAUGUCCAGUAAUUUUUCGAAAUCAAAUAAUUCCAUUCAAGCAUGCAUAAAAUGAGAUGUCAAGAUCAAGACACUCUUGAAUAUAGGAUGAUCGGAUCCUUCAAUUUAAUAUCGAAUUAUGAUUAUCUGAUAUGAAUAUAAUUUUCUAUCAAAAAUUUAACCUAUUUGAUUUUCUUUUGCACCUUUAAAACUAGCAAGAAUUCAAUACCUAGGCCGCGUGCUAAAAAUUGUCAAUGUUUGUGAGCAUUUUGAAUGCUGUAAAGGUAAAUGAUGUUGAACAUUUAUGAAAUUGAUUAUUUCUAGAAGUUUUGAAAUGCUCUAAAAAAAAAUAAUUUACGUAUGGAUCCGUCGAUUCGUAAAGCUCUAGUCAUUGCAAAACUACUUAUUGAGUACAGAGCGAUCCGUACUCAUUAAAAAGGACCAAAAAAGUAUAAGUAUCGGACUAAUCAAUAUAUAAUAUAAAAUAUAUAUAUAUAUAUAUAUAUUAUAUAUUAUAUUAUUAUAUAAUAUGUUAAAAGUAGUGUGUUGCUAGGUGUUACUAUACUUUUAAUAGUAUAGACUGGUUUUUUGCUUAUAAAUUUUUGGACCGUAGAUAAUGGCAUAUACAUUAGAAUGAUAUUGGCCGCUGAAGCGUUAGAGAUAUAGUGUCUCUCUAGGGCUGACGUGAAUGGUUUGGGUUGAAUAGUAUGAAUCUAACGGUAAAAUAUGGUGAAAGGGAGAUAUAACGACUGAAAAACUUAAUGAAAAAAGAGAUUAUACUAAACAUCAGAGUAUGUAGCACGGACACGUCUAUCUCUUCUCUACAUAUAUAUAAUAUAAUAUAUAAUAUAUAUAUAUAGAUAUAUAUUAUAUAAUAAUAUACAUAUAGAUAUAUUAUAUAUAUUAGAUUAAAUAGGCCUCCGUGCUUCUAAGCCGUUUUCGAUGAUGGAGCUAUCAAAUCGACAAUCUGCUCCGUUAGACUUGAUCUAGCAUAUUUAAAGUAUCAAAAAAAUAAAUUUUGCGAUUUUUUGAUAUUAUUUACCUAGCAAUCGAAAGGGUUCAAAAUUAAUAUUUUUUAAUGAUUGAUGUAUAUCGUUUGCAAAUUUAGCGGUGUAGAAGUAUUCAAAUCAGAUAAAAUUUUAAUAGUAAAUUUUUGUACUAUUUACUACAAGAUCAAUAUCUCUAAUCGAAAAUUUUAUUGUUAUAUCACCACUUUUUAUGAAAUUUUUAUUUUCAGCCGUUGAUUUUGAAUCAUUUUAAUUGCUAGGUAAAUAAUAUCGAAAAACCGCAAAAUUCAUUGUCUAAAUACUUCAAAUACAUUAAAUCAAGUCUAAUGGAGCCGAUCGUAUAUUCGGAAGCUCCAUCAUAAAAAAUGGCUUAGGAGCACAGAGACCUCCAUACUUCUAAUAGCACACAAGACUUACUAUAUAUAUAUAUAUAUAUAUAGAACUAAGCUGGAAUACUAUUAAUAGCAAAAAUGACUUGGUGCUAUUAAGUUUUCUGCUCUUGGAUUAAAAGAUGUGCGGUUAGGAUGAUGUAGGCCCCUAGGGUUGAGUGGGUGGUUGGUUGAAUAGUAUAAUCGAAUGGAUGAAAAUGAUAAAAGAGGUAAAUUUAAUGGCAGAAAACUUGAUAGCACCAAAUGCUUUGUGCUAUCGAUAGUAUCCUAGCCGGACUAUAUAUAUAUAUAUAUAUAUAUAUAUAAGUACCAAUGACUUGGUACUUUUAAAAGCAUAGGAGCUCAAUUCUAUAUGAGUCCGGCUAUGGUGCUUGUAAAAGCACCAAGCACUUGGUACUUAUAAAUUUUUUAUCGUUAGAUCUACAUCUUUAAUUAUUUUCAACCGUUAGAUUAUACUAUUCAACCAACUACCCACUCAACCCUAGGGGGCCCAUAUUAUCCUAACCGUACAUCUCUUAAUCUAAGGGCCCAAAACUUAUAAGUACCAAUGACUUGGUACUUUUAAAAGCAUAGGAGCUCAAUUCUAUAUAUAUAUAUAUAUAUAUAUGGAGGCCCCGUCAGCUAUAAAUAUUUUGAGAUUGCCCUCUCAACUUUUUCUUUAUUUUUUAAAAAUUUUAUGGAAUUAAGUAAUUUUAGUCAAUUCUAUUGAUUAUAUCACUUUUUACCUAAUAAUUAAAACUAGACUAAUUAAUCGCUAACAACAAAUAGAGCAAUUAUAUUUAAUAAAAUUUAAUUAAAAAAACCAAAGACUAAAGCCUCAUUUGGUAUAAUAUUUAUUUUUUAUUUUUUUAAACACAGAUGCUAUAUAAUUUGAUGUAUUGGAAAAAGAAUUUUUUCGACUAAGUAAUAGAUGAUAAGUUAUUUAAAAAUUUUUUGAAAGUUAAAAAAGAAAUUAUUUUUAAAUUUUAAUUUUUUGUUAUCAAGAAAGCGGUUUGGAUGAAAAUGCUGUAAUUAAUUCACUGUCUACUCCCACACCUUUUGAUAUAUAAAAUUCUAUUUAGUAACAUAAAAAAAUAAACGUGAUGGGAGACGCGGCCUAAGAUGAUCUCAAUUAAAAAGGAAAAAAAAGUUGAGGGGACUUUUUCAAAACACCGUAUUGCUGGGGGGGGGAGUCUCCAUAUAUUUUUACCUAAGCUUUUCAUGCAACCUAGCUCCUGUAAUGAUUUGGGUCUAAAUAUUACUUAAUUUGCUAGAAAUGAAACCCCCCACAUCCUCCUCGUUAAUACAUUACUAUUUGAACCCAUGUACGUACCACAAAGCCAUCUUAAUUUAUGUAUAUAAGAUCCUUUUUUUUUUCUUUUUCCUUUUUUUGCUUUUUUUUUUUUUUUUUUUUCUUUCUCUAUNUCUCUCUCUCUCUCUCUCUCUCUCUCUCUCCCUUCUUGUCCAGCUCUUUCAUUGUGACAUGCUCCCACCCCUCUCUCUCUCUCUCUCUCUCUCUCUCUCUCUCUCUCCCUUCUUGUCCAGCUCUUUCAUUGUGACAUGCUCCCACCCCUCUCUCUCUCUCUCUCUCUCUCUCUCUCUCUCUCUCCCUUCUUGUCCAGCUCUUUCAUUGUGACAUGCUCCCACCCCUCUCUCUCUCUCUCUCUCUCUCUCUCUCUCUCUCUCCCUUCUUGUCCAGCUCUUUCAUUGUGACAUGCUCCCACCCCUCUCUCUCUCUCUCUCUCUCUCUCUCUCUCUCUCUCCCUUCUUGUCCAGCUCUUUCAUUGUGACAUGCUCCCACCCCUCUCUCUCUCUCUCUCUCUCUCUCUCUCUUUCUCAUGAAUAUGUAUACAUAUGCUUUUCCUACCUCUUUUUGUUUCAUUUAUUUGUCUUUUCAUGUGAAAUGAUCCACCACCACGAGUGAGGGUGAUGGGAGCACAUGGAUUGAUGGCUUAUCUAAAAAGAGACUCGCCAACUAACACAAUGGAACAGUGCUGUGAGAGAGAGAGAGAGAAAGAGAGUAACAAAGUUUUAGCAAAAGGGUUUCAAAGAGUAGCAAACCUUAAUUAAUCAUCUUUUCACCUUAUUAAUUGUAGGGAAACUUCAAAAAACUCCAUGUGGUUUCGCACUUUUUCAUUUUAGUACUCUAUGGUUUAAAGGUUAUCAAGUUAGUACCCUGUGGUUUCGCACUUUCUCACUUUAGUACUCUGUGGUUUAAAGUGUAUUGAGUUAGUACUCUCUGUGGUUUUAUUUUUGUAUCAAGUUAGUACCCCGUGAUUUUAUUUUUGUAUCAAGUUAGUACCCUGUAGUUUUUAAACCGCAGGGGUACUAAAGUGAGAAAGUGCGAAACCACAGGGUAUUAAAGUGAGAAAGUGCGAAACCACAAGCUACUAACGAUACACUUUAAACCACACGGUACUAAAGUGAGAAAGUGCAAAACCACAGGAUACUAAUUUGAUACACUUUAAACCACAGGGUACUAAAGUGAGAAAGAGUGAAACUACAAUGGAGGUAUUUGAAGUUUUCCCUUAAUUGUAUGAUCUUAUUAUCGACCAUACUUAUCACAGUUGGCAAAAAAUUUGAUGAUUAGGUUUACUGAAGUCCCAAGUAUGGAAUCUAGCUAGUUGCUUCACUUUUUUUGCUGAGUUCAUUUAUAAAGAAUAAAUGAAGCAAAUAACAUGAAUUAAUUUUUUUUUUUUUAACAAAAAAAAGUGUUACGACAAACGCACAAACGGAAACGAAAAUGAUGAACACGAAAUAAUCAAACCACAAACAGAAAUAAAAAAGAACACAUAGAUUUACAUGGAAAAUUCUUUGCAGGAAAAAAAUCACGGGCGAGGGAGGAGAGAACUUCACUAUCGAACGAAAAAGGAAAUACAAUGUUUAGAGAGUACAGCCGACCACGAUCUCAUGCCUCUAGGGCAAAAACAAAAAGGAAACUCUUAAAGAGUUUCGGAUCCGAUCUGUACUGCGGGGGGCCCCACCCCCCGCACCCCCCGGCAAAUGUCAGUGGUGGGCUACGUGCUCUGGCCUGUCAGCACAAGUCCUCCGCUACCCACUACAGACAUUUAUUUUUCCUUCAUAAUUUUAUUUUUCAAUUUGGUCACAUUGCGAAACUGUCGGCGAGUCAAAAAUCCAAACUUAAGUCGAUUAUCAAUUUCGAGUCACAUCUAACAAAAAGAAAUGAAGAAGAGAACUGUCUGAUCUUAUUUUUAUCGCAUCUCUUUGAUAUGAGAAGUAAAAGUUAGCUAGGGUUUUGGCAAAUGAGAAAUUUAAAGCACACUAUGAAGAAAAUUUUUGAAAAACAAAGUCAGCUAAAAAUGUAAAUUAAAGAAACUAGGCUUCGAACAUAGAACAUCGGAUAUCAAUUAUGAAGUCCUUAACCAAAGUUUUUAACCAACUAGGCUAGAUACAAUUGAUUUGUUGCUGUGGAGAGAAGUUAAAUGAACUUUCUUACCCAAAAUUUGAGACUCCAUUUUUUUUUUUUUUGAGAGAUAGGUAACACGCUAACCGUUUCGUUUGUUUCAUUUAGAAAUAAACUUAGCUGGAAAUGUGAAUCAACUAGGAUUCGAACUUGGGUCUCGGGUAUCAACUACCAAGCCCUUUACCACUUGCUCUAGGAACGGUCAGUGAGACUCCAAAUUUUUAAUUGAACGAAACGUAAGUGCUGACGAAACUCAAAGCAACUUGAAUGCCUUCCAAGUAAAAUUUUCCUUCAGUUGCUUGUUUUGAUAUAAUUAACCAAUAUUCGGAAAGUGAGUUACCAGUACUAUUAUUUGUUUUGAUGAACUUUUUAGUAUUGGUGAAACUCAUGAGUACUAACAAUUAAACUCAACAUGGUUUAUUUUGGGGUACUAAUUAUGUAAUAUUUCUUAAUAAAGGAUUAGUACAAUGUAAUGACUUUGGAGCUAUAGGCAGUAAAGUUAGUUAAUAAGAAAACUUGUCACUUAUACUAAAACAUAUUUUCUUCAUCCUCGUUUACGACAAUUCAAACAUACCCUUAUUAACGGAAAAGGUGAUAACUAAAUCAUACCCUUAUUAUUAUUAUUUUUUUCAAUCUCCUUUAUAAACUUUGGAAUUUAAUAGGCAACUUAAUUAUAGAGUUGAAAAUUUCACGUAAGCACGCCACUUCAGAUAAAAUAUUGAAUCUAUUGUGAAUAUUUUUAUACCAUAUGCUACAAUUUGUAGACAAUAUUUAUAUAUAUUCCUGAAAUUUUCAUGUAAGCUUUAAUUAGCGUCAAAAGCUAAUUAAUUUAAAAUGUUAUUAUUGUAAUUAAUUUAUUGUUCGUAAUUUUUAACUUAAUCAGUCUGUUCUCAUAUUUCUAGCUAGCUAAUUGCGAAAAUUUUAUCUUAAUUAAGUUUGUUGUUCCUAAGGUUUAAAGAUUAAUUGAUUAAUUCCUGGUUACUUAAAAAAUGAGGCUAAUGAUAGAAACUAUUAAUUUCUCUGCCAAGAGGAAUUGGACAUCCUAAAUUACUUAUUAGAGAGAGAAAACAAAUUGAAUUAAAGCAAGGAUUCGUAUUAUUAUUAGCAUUACCCAAUAAACACAACCAAAUAGAAGCCAAGAAAAGGCUUAUAAUUAAUUAAUGUAUGUACCCUCAACAGUAGGCUAUUUUUAUAUGGUCCCAUCAACUUACAACUUUUUAAUUGAGACAUUCUCAAUCUUCAUCAAUCUUUUGAGACUAAGGAAUUUAGUUAAAUAAAUUAAAAAUUUAUAAAAUAUGUGAUGAUUUUAUCAAAUUGAAUAAUUUAACUAUUUUUAGCAUAUAAAAUUGAAAUAAUUCACGGUUAACAGCUAAUAGAACUCUUAAAUAGAAUAGCUCAGUAUUUUAAAAACCAAAAUUUGAAAAAAAAAAUCUCAAUAAGGAAAAGUUAACCUUGAGGUAAAAAUUUCAAAAUGCCCUAUAAUUUUUUUUUUCUUUUUUUUUUUUUUUUAUUUUUGCGAGAAAGAUAGCAUAUAUGCUACCAAAGUUAGAAACGUGAAGCAAUUAGACUUCGAACUUGAAAUCUCAGAUACCAUCCAUCAAGCAUAAAAAAGUGUUUAGCCAACUAUGUUAGGUGGAAUCAGUUGAGCAGAGUGUCCAUAGUUUUUUUUCUAGAGAAAGACAGUAUGCUACCCACUUCGUUCAUUUUACAAAAAUAAACUCAGUUACAAAUAUAAAGCAACUAAUUUUUGAAUUUAGAAUAUCGAAUACUAAACAUCAAGUUUUUAGCCAACUGCGUUACGUUCAGUCGGUAGGAGUAUUACUCCAUAGUUGAGGAGAGUGUCCAUACAUAUAUAUAUUAACAAUGACAUAUUAAUCUGGGAACAUGAAGGACUUAGGUGCAUGAACUGACAUGUUUUGGAGAAACUAUGACAUAUUGACAUGCACCAAUCAAGUGAGCAAUAAUUAUAACCUUUUCCUAAAGGGACCAUCCUAGUCUAGAGAAGACAAUAACCUAAUUAUAUUGGUGUUUUUAGGGAGAAAGAAUAUUGUCCCUUGUUCCUAUAUGACUACAGAACUAGACCAUCUCUGACAUGCUUCCACCUUCUUGUUUGAUUUGAUCUCUAAUUCUCAUCGUAAUUAGAAUUCGGAUAUUUGAUAAAUAAAAAUUACUAAAAGAGUUUCUACUUCUAACUUCAGUAUAAAGCAGUUUAACAGCUCUUACUUUUCUAAAAAAAUAAAGUUUUUAAUAGGUUUUCAUAAUAAAUUUAUUAAUUAUCUUUGACUAAUAUUUUGCAAAAUGACAUUUUUCACUUACAGAAAACACAAGUUCAAUAUAAUUUAGAGCACACAGAUGCAUGUAUGGAGAUAUAGCCUUCGAGCGUACCAAAAUAUUGUCAACUUUAAUUUGUCUUUAUUUUGUAUAUAAAUACUUCAGAUAUUCGUCGCGUUAAAAUCUAAGUCUUCUAGAGGUCAAAAAAAAUUAUUUUUAAUUUCCACUCUAAUUAAAUGAAUUUUAUAAUUUUGUGUUCUUGGAAUAUGGUGACAAGUAUCCAUCGGAUUUUACAAGCAGUCAUAGAUCGAUGUAAAAUUUUCGCUCUUUUUUCCUUUUCCUCCUAAAAAGCAAAUUAAGGUGCUAUUGCCAAUACAUGAAUAUUAAAAAUUUUAGUACAUAUAUCAUCCAUAAAUAAUCUUCAGUUUAAUUUACAUUAUUAUAAGUUUCAAUUUCAUUGCAAUUAAUACAAAUAUAUUUGUGUCCUUAAAGGAUAAUUAUAAUUGUUUAAUUUUACGAGUCCAUCCAAAUUAAACAGGCAUGUAAUGAUAGUUCAGUAUCAAUAGCAUCAAACACCUCCUAAGUUGACCUCUAUUUUCUUGCCCCAUCGUAAGAGACAUGAACAAAGGACGAUUCUAUAUAUAUAUAUAUACACACACACAUGUACUAUAUAUUGUGGAACCAGUUAAUUAACUUAAUUGAUUGAUUAAUACUUGGCCUUAAUUCUUUGGUGUCACGUUCAAAUAUAUAUGUGGGGGUCAUUUCACUUUUGUGCAUAUCCAUCAAUUCAUCUGCCAAAUGGUGGUUUGAUAGAACUUGUUCCCUUCUUACACUAAUUAAUGAUAGGUCAAGAUCACACAUUUCUGAUCUGUUUCACACUUGAAACUGAAAAGAAUAUAAAAAAUAACAAUUAUCUUUUUUUUUUCUUGGAGAGUAAUGCUAAGGGUACCCUUAAAAGGCGUUUAAAAAUACAGUUGAAAAGUAAGAUUUUAAGGUGGUAUAUGGGUUUAGGAAUUUGAAUAGUUGGGCGACUACGUACUUUAAAUAUCUUUGGCCAUGUACAUGGAGAAGAUAAGACAGGUUGAAAGGGAAGAAGCACAAGAACGAAAGGAAAUGUUACAUGAAGAAUCAAUAAUAAAACAAAAAUAUUAUUAAUCAACUCUCAAUAUCUGAUUAUAUUAACCGAAUGCCAUAUCUAUAUACAGAGGCAUUACGGUACCUAAAUCAUACUAGACGAAGAUAAUAAAUUUUAAUAUAUCUCUAAACCUAAUUAGAUUAGAAAUAAUCAAAUAAUCGGACUAAAAAUAGAAAAAAAAAAAUACAGAGCUUUUCAGAAAUAGCCUAAAAAUGCACAAAUGGAGACAGAAACAAUUGAAUUUGAGCCCUUAUAAACUCGAUCGAAACAGCUAUUCAACGAGUAGAUCUCGAAAAGUAUUUUUCGAAUUGCGGUUGCCCACUGAAAUCGAAUACUCGAGCUAAAAGUUAUGGCCGUUUAAAUAUUUUUCGUAGUUAAAUCGCCUAUUUCCAAAAACUUUAAUGCUAAAUAAGCAGAGCGCAUCAGUAAAAAAAAAAAAAAAAAAAAAAAAAAUUAAAAUAACAAAGGUAAAAAUUUCAACCUUUGGUAUGGAGGGGUCUCUAUUAGACCUGAUACCAUGUAGUCAAACAGUACAUCUGAUCGAUAGAUGAUGUCUCAAGAAUAAUCUGAACAUUUGGGACAUUCUGAUCAUGUUAUCCAUAAGUUGGCGAAUCAAUGCGUUAAGCCCUCGAAUCAAACGGCUUAUAACGUCCGACAUACGGUGCUUCGAGGCGGUCCAUCAGAAUGGACGGUCGCAAUCGACUCGAAUCUGACAAACCUGGUUGGCACAUCCAAAAUACCACAAGUUGUAUGACUACCAGGAUACAGACCAACACAAGCUCCAAAACCCUAACCCUAAUUGUUUGUGUACGAACACAGUCGAUCGAGUCCGAUCGAUGCUACUUCUACUUGUAAUAUAUGCAGCAACAACAGUUUGUGUCCAAAUUUGAACAUCUCUGUCGACGAUGGCGACGGUCGAUCGACAAAGGGGUGUGGGCGUGGCCCAGUUUCAAUUGGAUGGUCGUGAUCCGUUUCGCGACCACAGACAAGAGCCAAGAAAAAAACCGAAGUGAAACAGUACUACAUUGUGGUCCUGAUGCUUGGAAGAUACCAGUUUUCGCCCACUUCGGAGAGAAACACAUCCAAAUAAACUGUUUGUGAUCUGUAAAAGAUAUUAUGUAUACAUUACAUAUUGAUUUGUUAAUAUAUUAACCUAUAUAAUGUUACAAUAUACGUACGUUAAAGGCUUUUAACUGAGUGAUGCAUGCAUACACUCUAAAAAUAUCAUUCUAAAAUUAAGAAAACCAAAGUAUUUUUCUUAAUAUUAUGCUUUAAAUAAAUCUUUAUUUUUAAUUAGACGUAGUCGUUUCAUGUAAAUAUAUAAACUAUUUUGAAUAUUGAUUUUUACAAUUUUUUUUUUUACUUAAAAUUUUUAUAAUAAUAAUCUUAAAGGAGAUAGCAUGCUAAAUCUUUUGUAUAGUGUGGCGAGCAUCUAAACGAACUUGGCUCACAGCUGAUGUGGUAGGCCCGGUCCACCAAGUAGUAUGCGACCCAGUGAGCCCAUUGAGGCCCAGCCUGUUAUCUAAUAAGGUGGUGGGGCCCAGCGCAUCACCCGGUGUGCCAACUAGAACCACCCCAAAGUGGUGGGCCCCACUUUGCCGCCCACUCAAGAAAAGCUCUGACACCGCCACGUGUAUCCCAGGCUUCGUUUUGGCCUUACGUGGGCAAAUGGGACAAACCCGGUCUACGGGGUUUCGAACACUGAAAAAGGCGACGAAUUAUAAAAGCGUGGACCCGGUUCACCAUAUUAGCCAAGAACCAGAACGUAAUAUUCGAUCAUGGAGCUCUUAUUAUUAUAAUAUUUAAAACAUUUAAAGGUACGGGAUGUGACCUGUAACUCCUUAAUAUUCCUCUUAUUAAAAGAUAAACGUUUUUAAGAAAUUAACGCAUAUUUACGUAUUAAUUAACUAGUCCCAAAAAUUAAUAUUAUGCUUAAUUAUUAGGUACGCGCGAAAUAGGUUGUAGACCUUUACAAGUUUUUAGAACACAUCAAAUGAAUUGAAUAUAUCGAGUAAGAAAACAUAUAUUUUCUCCCUUAGCAUAAAUAAUUAAUGAUAUCAUAUGCUAUAAUUAUUGAAUAUAAAUAUUACAAAUACUAUUCUCUAAUAAUUGAAACUAUUAAAAAUAAAUAAUUAUUUAAAAUAACUUAAUAUGAUGUCAGAUGAAAAUCUCGAGUUGAAUACGAAUAUGAAAAAAAAAAAAAAAAAAACCAUUUUCUGACACAGCUACGAAUGGAAUCUAAACCCACCAAUAUAGUUAAGUGGAACCUAGACUAAGCAUUAGAAAUUAUCAAUUUGAGAACAUUUGAAUACUAGACAGCUAACAUCAUAAAAUCAUGAAAAAACUUUAAAUAUCAUUUAUGUGGUUUCACUCGUUCUCAUUUCAUUACCUUGUGAUUUAAAGUAUAUUAAUUUAGUGCGUGUGAUUUUAUUUUUAUCUUUUUAUUAUCGAUUUUAUUAAUUUUUUUUGUUAAAUUAGUGGCAAAGUUAAAACCAAAGGGUAUUAAAAUGAAUAUUUGAUAAAUCUAAGUGGGAUAUCUGAAAUUUUUUGUACAUAAUUUAACAAAAUAUUAACAGAGAUGUUGACGAAAAGAUAAAAAUGAAACCGCAGUACACUAGCUUGAUACACUUUAAACCACAUAGUACUAAAGUGAGAAAAUGCGAAACCACAGGGGUCGUAUUUGAAGUUUACCCUAAAAUCGGUGGUAUUUGAAGUUUACCCUAAAAUCAUGAAAUUUAAAAUAGUAUAAAUCAAGCUUAACGGUACCGAUUAUCGAUUCAGAUGGUCCAAUCGCCAGAAACAAUACGAAAGUAAGCAGAAAGCCUUUUUUUUUAAAAGUAUUCUAGCUUAACUUUUGCCAUCUCACAAAAUUGAUUUAUUUAAUGUAUUUUCGUGAAACAUGGAUCAGAAGCAUAACAGAAUUGGUGCUUCCAACUUUUUGAUUCUUAGAUCAACCGCUUUGGCAAUUUUUAAUUUUUGGAUGAUCACUCAAUUCCAAAGGAACUACUCAAUCCUGAAGAAGACCAUUAUUAUCUUGACCCUACAAUUCUUGAUCCAAGGGCUAAAAGGUCAGAAGCACAAACUUCCUUAUAUUUUUGAUAACAUAGUAACUCUACAUUAUAUAUAUAUAUAUAUAUAUAUAGAGUUCGGUUACUAUGCUAUUAAUAGCACGAAGCGCUUGGUGCUACCAAGUUUUCGGCCGUUAGAUCUACCCUUUUUAUCAUUUUCACCCGUUAAAUCAUACUAUUCAACCAACACCCACUCAACCUUAAGGGGCCCAUAUCAUCCUAACCGCACAUCUCUUAAUCCAAUGGCCAAAAACUUGGUAGCACCAAUGAGUUGGUGUUAUUAAUAGUAUAUUAGCCUAGUUCUAUAUAUAUAUAUAUAUAUAUAUAUAUAUAUAUAUAUAUAUAUAUAUAUAUAUAUAUAUAUAUAUAUAGAGAGAGAGAGGAGAGAGAGAGAAGAGAGAGUAGAGCAGCAGGAGACGAGCUUGUAGAGCAGAUGGAGACCAGAGGAUGAGAGAGAGAGACACUAGGCGACUAUACUAUCGGUAGCACGGUAAGGCUCCGUACUUACCAAGUUGUUAUUCGAAUGAUAUGGCUUCCAAUGAACGACCGGCUCCGUUAGACUUGAUCUACACUAUUAAAAGUAUUUAGAAAUAAAUUUCAUUAAUUUUCAAUAUAUUUUUACCUUAUCAAAACAAGUAGUCUAAAAAUUGAAUGUUGAAAUAAAAAUCUCACAAAAAAAUGAUGAUUAAAAGAUUUCAAUUCAAGAUCAGAUAUACUGAUCUUACUCUAAAUACGUGAAAAAAAUUUUCUUAGAAAUUUUAUGCAUUCUGGAUUGUUUUACACCGUUAAACUCACAAACACAGCCACAUCGGCCAUUAACAUGCGUCAAUUUUGAGUCUUUUGGAUCACUACGUCAAAUGAUGUCGAAAAAAUCUGCAAAUUUAAUUAUCAAAUACUUUCAAUAGUGUAGUCAAGUCUAACUGACAAAACCUGAUUCAUCGAUUUGGAAGCCGCCAUCAUCGAAAUACAACUGGAUAGCACGGAAGCCCUCGUCGCUACCGAAUAGUUAUGAGUAGCCGGACAUAUAUAUAUAUAUAAAGAUAGAGAUGAGAGAGAGAGUGACACGUGAUCCGAGAGGGUUCCUAUGAGAGGAUGAGAAGAGAGAAUAGGCUGGUAUAAUUAUUGUUAAUGACGAAGGUCUCCGUGCCUACAAAGUUGUUUUUCAAUGAUGCGGCUUUUCAAAUCGAUGAUUCGGCUUUGUCAAAUUUUGAUCUAACAUAUUAAAGAUUGCGAAACUUAAAAUUUAUAAUUUUUUUAUUAUGUUGGCUUAGUGAUCAAAAGUCUCAAAUAUGACAUUUCAAUGGUAAGAUGGUGUAUGCGUUUAAAUUAAUACGCGGUUUAAAACAAUCUUUAAAUCUGAUGAAAUUUUAUAAGAAAAUUCCUUUCACUAUUUAAAGUAAGAUUAUAUAUUCUGAUUAAUUCAGUCUUUUAUUAUUACUUUUUAUGAUUUAUUUAGCGUUAUUUUAGUGACUACUUGUUUGUAGGUAAUUAAUGUCAAAAAUUAUGAAAAUUAGUUUUUCUCAUAUUUCAAUGUAUGGAUCAAGCUUAACGAACGAUCAGUCGCAUUUGAAGACCGCGAUGAUUGAUAAAACAAUGAGUAGCAACGGAGGCCCUCCUACCGGUAGUAUGCCAGACCUAGUCUCUCUCUAUCUUCUCUCUCUCUCUCUCUCUCUCUUCUCUCAUCAUUCUCUCUCUUAUAUAUAUAUAUCAAAUUAUAUAUAUAUAGUUUAUUAUAUAUAUAUAGAGCUAGGCUAGUAUAACUAUCGGUAGCACGGAGUCUUCUCGUGUACAAGUUGUUUCGAUGAUGCGGUUUUUCAAUCGUAUGAUCGGCUCCGUUAACUUGAUCUAUAUUAUUAAAAUAUUUGCGAAACUAAAUUCAUUAUUUUUCGAUAACAAUUUGACUAUGUGUCAAAAGGUCUCAAAAUUGACACCUUUUAAUGUUUGAUCUGGAUUGCGGUUUUGAAUUUAACGCGUAUAUAAAUAAUUCAAAUCUGAUGAAAUUUCCUAGAACAUUUUCUUCCACUAUUAGAAUAAUUUAGUACCUCUGAUCUUGAAUUCAGCUUCUUAUGAUCAUCAUUUUUUAUGAGUUUUUAUUUUUACACAUUUAGUUUUAGACACUGUUUGAUAGUGUAAAUAACUGUCGAAAAAUUUAUGAAAUUUAGUUGUUCAAUACUUUUCAAUUUAGUGUAAGAUCAGUCUAAAUGGAAGCGAUCAUGAUUUGAAGCUGCAUCAUCGAAACACAUUGGUAGCAGGCAGGGCCUCCAUGCCUCGGAUAGUUAUACCAGCAUCAGCUCUCUGCUCUCUCUCUCUCUCUCUCUCUCUCUCUCUCUCUCUCUCUUUAUAUAUAUAUGGCUACCAAGUUGUUUUUCAAUGAUGCGGCUUUCAAAUCGACGAUCGGCUCUAUUAGACUUGAUUUACAUUAUUGAAAGUAUCAGGAAACUAAAUUUCAUAAUUUUUUGAUAUCAAUUACCUAUCAAACGAGUAGUCUAAAAAUGAACGGCUGAAAUAAAAAACUCAUAAGAAAAUGAUGAUAAAAGAAUUGAAUUUAAGAUCAGAGAUACUGAUCUUACUCUAAAUAGUGAAAAAAAAUUUCUAUAAAAAUUUCAUCAGAUUUGGAUUGUUUUAUACCGUUAAAUUCACAAUCACAUCACAUUAACCAUUAAAAUUGUUAAUUUUGAGACCUUUUGAUCAGUAGCUAUGUAAUGUCGAAAAAUUAUGUAAUUUAGUUUUCAAAUACUUUCAAUAGUAUAGAUCAAAUCUAACGGAGUUGAUUGUCGAUUUGGAAGCCGUAUCAUUGAAAACAACUUCGUAGCACAGAGAUCUCCGUGCUAUCGAUAGUAUACCACCCUAGCUCUAUAUAUAUGUAAUUAAUAUAUAUAAAUUCGGCUACUGUACUAUCAAUAGCAUUACGCAUUUAGUGCUACUAAAAUUUUUACCUUUCGAUCUAUUUUUUUAAUUAUUUUUAUCCGUUAAAUCAUACUAUUCAACUAACCACUUUUUCAAUUCUAGAAGAUCAUUAUUAUUCUAACCUUGUAUCUUUUAAUUUGUAGACCGAAAACCAAUGUAAGCAUCAAUGACUUUAGGCUAUAUAUAUUAUUUUAUUUGAAGUAGGAGGCUUAAUUUGCAAUUACGUGGCCUCUCGCACGUGCAACAGCUCAACCGAAGUGGGGAAAGCGUUUCACUUUUUCCCGAUCUGCAUGAUCUUCUAACAUGCCUCCACUCGAUGCUGUCUCCUUAGUGGGCACGUGCGAGUGUCCCCGGAUUCGCACGUGAGCUCGGUGUAUGUGGGGGGGUGGGGGGGGUGUUGCGGGGGUGAAUAAGAUGCAUGAGAAUACGUAUAUGUAUAUAUAGAUAUAUAGAUAUAUAUCCAUCGCAUUGGGUGAAUGAGAGAGAGGGAAAAAAGAAAAGUGAAAAGAAACAAAAAACCCAUACGCAUUAUAAUUACUGAAGCACUUGUCAUUUUCUGCAUGCAAGGGUAGAGACAAAACUAAGAAGAGAGAGAUAAGAGUCAAAGGCCAUUUUGAUUUCACAUUUGAGCCAAAAAAAAAUGCAAUAUUGUGUUGAGUGUAUUAUGUAAUGAUUAUCUUUUGGGGUGGGUCAAUUUGUAGUUUAAUUUUUUUUCCUUCUUUUUUAUUGAGUUUUCACUUUCUCUUCUACACAUCAAUAAAUGUUUUUUUUUAACUUUUACUUAAUUUUAUU
Molecule: long non-coding RNA, 82658 nt
Filed under: Ananas comosus (pineapple)
Lineage: Eukaryota; Viridiplantae; Streptophyta; Magnoliopsida; Poales; Bromeliaceae
Description: long non-coding RNA (ACOM_LNC010733)
Source: RNAcentral